This 67946-nucleotide long non-coding RNA is filed under the name Malus domestica (apple). RNAcentral's name for it is "long non-coding RNA (MDOM_LNC009185)". The stretch from base 24441 to 24547 matches the Rfam family "Plant small nucleolar RNA R71". The record is from RNAcentral. Lineage: Eukaryota; Viridiplantae; Streptophyta; Magnoliopsida; Rosales; Rosaceae.
UUUUUUUUUUUUUUUUUUUUUUUUUUUUUGGUUCUUAACAAUCGAUACAUGUUUGUUGCAAUUUUAAUAAACUUACUGAAUUUUUAUUACCAAUUGGUUGUACUUACGUAUGUAACACUAAUUUUGUCGGAUGCAAGUUUUUGUCCAGCUGAUUACUCAGAGCGAGGAAGAAAAGAAGGCGCCUUAUUGGAACGUCAUGUUUAAUGAGUUCAACCUUGUAGGGAUGCAACAUCAGAGGAUGAAAAUAAAGGUGUUGCGGAUAUUGAUCAUGACUCCGAGACCACUUUUUCGUCUGAACCGAAAGGGAAGGCAAAGAAGGGAUACCACACACACGUGGGAAAGUUGCCAUCGUUGUUUCAUUCGGCAAUGAGUACAUAAAUUUGUAAAUUUUAGUUUCAAUUUAGACACUUGUAUUGUUUUUGAACAGAUAUUAGUUUCGGUGGAGUUAUGAUAUGAAAUCACUAUUUUUUAUAUGCAGAAGUAUGAGUUUGUUUCCAAGUGGCUGUUUAAAGAAUUUUUCGUGAUGAUGGAUGUUCGGUUGAGGAAAGUUGUAGAGGAAUUAGAGGUGGAACGGCGUGCCCGUAUAGAGUUAGCUGCCAAGGUUGAGCGUCUCCGAGGCGAUGUAGUUGGUAAAUCAUUUGACAAGACCCCGACCCCUGAUAAGUCGGUAGGGUCAGGGCAGGAUGCAGAUAAUGUCCCCAAGGAUGAGAAGGUAGAUAGUUCCCCUAAACGUCGACCAGGUUAUGAAGAUCUCACCGCAUUGUCCCCUCGACUUGAUAUCUCUACCGAUGAAGGGAAGUUGGCUCGGGAAAAAAACAUAAUCGAAACGACAACCCUCUGUGUGAAUUUUAUUACUUUGAUGUCGACUUGCUGGAGAUAAUUGAGGGCGAGAAUGCAAAUGAUGUCGCCUAAUCACUCCUGCAUGUAUUGGAGUUUAGAGGGGAUGGUGAGUUGGAAGAAGGGAAAGUUUUCUAUCUUGGAGAGGAAGACGAGGACAUGGAGGUCAGCGAGCAUAGUAGCCACACUGAGGAAGCUGUCGAUGUGAACGAGGCUGCCGGUCCAUCUAAUUCUGAGCCCCUUCUCGGUAAGGAAAUGGGGCGGAAGCAUAAAGGAAUGUAGCUGGUGCACCCUUUUACCCUCUCGAAUCCUACAAAAGAAGGAAAGUUGACAAUAGUUGGGCCCACGAGGAUUUUUUUGUUGUCACGGGUCCUAUGCUGAUCAUCCCAAAGUUGGAUGUGGAGGCUUUCAUCGAUGUCUAGACGCGUUUGGUUGGUUCGCCGAGGUAAGUUCACUUUCGGUCGUCAUUCAAACAAUUGAGUAUGAACUCGAUGUCCAUAGAUCCUUAACAACCUGUGGUUUUUUUUUUGUACUAGCGACAGACUGGACUUAUACAAAUUGGCUACCGUGGGUCGGGAUUUGUUUACCAUACUCUUCCAGUCCUAAGAUACUCUGAAUAGCAAUGUAAGUAAUUGUUCUUCUUUUGUAACUAGUUUUUGUUCACCAUAUUAUAAACGAGUAUAAGAGUUUAAUUCAACACAUCAACGUCAACCUUUACUUUCUGAGGAAGUGAUUGAUGGAGCGUUGUAGAGAUUUCGAAGAGCAGUAGAAAACUGUUGACUUUUAUUUAUGGGUAAGUGUUAUGUUAUUAUUGUUACCCUUCAUUCCAUCUAUUUAUGUUCCUAAUACGCUUUUGCACCUCAUUAACAAAUAACGAGACAUGUCAUUGGUUUUUGUUUUAUAUGGGAAAAUCUGAAAUUGUGUUGCAACGCAUUGAUGCUGGAAAAAUGAAACUGGAAUAUUCGCAAUUUGAGACCAUUGCUGCAAGAAAUGGUAAGGGCAACUCAAAGGCAACGUGUGACAUCCCACAUCGCUCAGUGGAGUGGAUUCUGUAAGCCUUAUAAUAAUAUUCUCAUCUUUACCUAGCACGAGGCCUUUUGGGAGCUUACUGGCUUCGAGUUUUAUCGGAACUCCAAAGUUAAGCGAGUUCACACGAGAGUAAUUCCAUGAUGGUUGACCCACUGGGAAGUUCUCAUGUGAGUUUCCAGAAACAAAAUUGUGAGGGCGUAGUCGGGGCCCAAAGCGGACAAUAUCGUGCUACGGUAGAGUCGAGUCCGGGAUGUGAUAGGGGCUUGGGUCGGGAUGUGGCACAAGGGCAAAAGAAGCUUUGGUUUUUACACUUUCGAAGCAUUUGAUGAAGGCCAUCUCAGCUGAUGCAAGUACAACGCCACACACGCAUACACUGAAUGAUGUUGACAAGGUAUUCAUCUCAUGUCACAUGAAUGAUGACCAUUGGAUGUUGGUUGAUGUCCAUCUUGCAUGUCACAUGAUCACGAUCUCUGAUUUACAUUUGUCAAGGUCGGGGUGGGAAAAAAAAUGAAGAAACAACUUGCUCAUAUGUGUUUCGUAAUACCUCAACUUCUAAAGGUGAUGGGAUUCCAGGCUGCAUGAAGCCAUUUUAAGCUAAUCUCGAAAGCGAUGGAUAAAGCGUUUGACAUUUAAACAAUGACCAACUGCAGCCAAUAAAACAACGGGUACGUUCCGUUUUAUAAUUAUCUCUAACGUAACUGUAAAUGUCUUAAAUACCUAGUGUGUUGUAACCUGGAGUUGUUCUUUUCUGGUAGGGCGGACUGUAGAGUUUUCUUACUCAAAUUUACCAACUACUUAUCAUCAGGCUUGGACAUUGACCACCUUAGAACAUGGCUUUUUUUCAGACUCAAGCUUGCCAUCGAGUUUAUCAGAGGCUGUGCAUUUGUGUGAAGGAUUAUGUGGACACCAUUUAUUUCAGUAGUUUUCUUGUUAUAACCAAACAAUUGGGUUACCAUUCAAAUUGUAAUUUGAGUACUUAGUAUGUAAUUGUAAGUUUAGUACACUUUUCCAUUGCAUUGUUUAGUAUUCAUUAAGUAUUCUUAAUUUUUAUUACUUAGCUAUUAAGGGCCUUAUGUUGUCAUUGGUUGUACUUAGCGUGUUAGUGUAAUUUUUAGUACACUUUGCAAUUACAUGGUUUCAGUAUUAAGUAUCUAAUCUUUACUUUAUUACUUAGCAAUCAAGGGCCUUAUGUUGUAUUGGUACUUAUAAGGCUUUCUGAUGCAGCAAUUUGUGUGCAUGUCUUGUUGAUGGCAUGUGCAUAACAUGUACAUGCAAUGUGCAUGACUUGACCAUGAAAUGUCCAGUACCAAUUAUUGUAUUCUAUGUAAAAAAGCAGCAUUGGAAACAAUAUCAGAGUUCAAUUAAUGUAUGUAGAUAACAUUGAACUAAUUAAACAUUAAGGCCUUUCUUAUGACAAACCACACGUGGAAUGUCAAAAUAUAACAAAUUUGAAGGACCCACAAAAGAGCUCAAAUUAUCCCUGGCAAGUAGCCCCAAUGGCAAGUGCCUUGUAGUAGUCAACAGUCACCCACUUCCCGUUCACAUCUACUUUCAUUGCAUAGCGGUGAAAUAUCUCAAACCCCUCACCAAGUCCUAACCGAAAGCCGUAUUGCUCGCCCAACAUGUGAUUGUGUUCUUCAAAUGACAUGAACUUCUCGAUCUCUUUUGCCAUUAACAACUCCAUGAGUCAACGAGCCCUUUUCAAUUUUCGCUUUAAGGAUGCGAUGUUUUUCACAUGAUCUUCCUCGUGCUUGGUAAUCCUCCUAUAAUUGUUUCAAGCUCAUAUGGCUUAAACGAACCUAUGUCUUCCGUCCGGGGUGAGGUGGGAGGUGAGCAUGAGUGGGAACAGGAAGAAGAAGAUUUCCUGGGGGAGGUGCGAUAGGAGUAAAGGUGGGAACUGGAAGAUGAAGAUUUCAUUGCUUGACUGCCAUAUGGAUUUCUUUGUUAAAAGGAUGAGAGAAUGGGGUAUUUUGUGUUUUCCUUAUACACACAAAAUCAAAGGACAACGUAAUUCAAAAAUGAGGUGUGUUCCAUAUGUUUCCCAAAAAUUCAAAAUUUGCCCCCAAAUUGUGGUGAUGGUUUGAAUUUCUCACCUAGGAAAAAUUUGAAAAUUUACUAUUUGUAAUUUUCUUAUGCAUAUGCCAUGCACAUGCUAUGAGCGUCUCAUGCACAAUACAUACAAGUUUUUCAUGCAUGUACCAUGCAUGCAAUACGCACAUAGCAUCCACGUCACAUGUUAUGCACAUCACAUUUUAUGCACAUAGUAUGCACAUGAUAUGUACAGAUUAUCCAGAUAUAAUUUCUUAAGUUCCUUUUUUUGGUCAAAAGUUUCUUAAGUUCUUUAAAGGACAACUGAAAGCAUGGUACACUAAAUGCGCAAAAAGAAAAGUGGAAGUAGUCAUUAAUCCCUGAAGGAAAAUUUGUGAAAAACAAGUUCAUUUGAGCAACAUCUAUGCAUGCAAUUAACAAUUAAAGGAGGAAUCAUGCUUGUAUGCACCCAAAAACAAAACUUUACCCAUGAAAUUCAAGGCCUAGUAGUUGUGGUGAACCAAGACUCAACUCAAAUCUUAAAGAAAAGAGUUAGAAACUUUUAUACCCUUGAAGCACCUCUUUGCUUAGCAAAUGAUAUUCUCCUAUGUGAAGGGCCUUAUUUCCUUAGUCUCCUUGCUCCUUGGCUCCAUGGAUGUGGAUGGAGGAACUUUGCUUCUUAGCUCCAUGACCUUUUGGAUAUGGAUGAAGGAAUGGAUUGUCCAGGUUCCCAAGAAAAGGAACCUCUAAGUUUACACACCAAAGAGAGCAUUGAGGAAGACAUGAGUGACCUAGGAAGAAAUGGAUGCUAGUGCAUUCUUCCUAGGGUGGCCGGCCUCCUAAGAGAAGAGAGAGCCUUUUUAUUUUUCUCUUCUCUUUCUUGAAAACCCUUAAGAGGGAAUAGGUUAUAAUUUCCUUUCUAAGCCACUUACAUUGAGUGGCAUAGUUGAAAUUAAAACCAAUUCUCCCUCGCAUUCUCUAUGGCCAUCCAUGUGGGUUCAUCGGGCUUUCAUACCCUUUGUGUUUUCAAGUUGUCAUACAACUUGAGUUAUUGGACUUGACAUUUGAAUCCCAUUAGGCCUUGAAGCCCAAAACUAACCCGAGGUCUAAAAGGAACUUAUUCGUUUGAUUAAUUAACAUAUUAAUUAAUCCUAGCCAUAAAUAAUUAAACCAUUUAAUUAUCCUUACUCAUCUCCGUUGUUUCUUCAAUCUCUACCUUAUACGGUGUAUGAUCCAUUGGGUUCCUCUUCAAAUCGAUUGUGAAUUGAAACUUACUUUUCAAUUCUCCUUUUAGUGAUUAUACACCUUUAGGGCUUCCACAAACCAUGAGUGACACUUAGCAGUAUGUCAUGACUACCCAAGCUAAUAAGAAGAGGUGGAGAACCUAUUCAGUUUGGGAUUACAAUGCAAUACGGUAUUUCUCUAAUACAAUACUCUUAACCACAUUGAUUGAUUUCAUAGUUUAUUCAUGUCUACUACCCAAUGUGAUUCUUUUACUUAUAUGAUUACCUUGAAUGUGAUUUGGAACGACUUCCAAAAUCUCAUUCAUACUCUAGCUAGAGAUUCUUAAUCAUAUCAUAGAGUAUUCUCCCUCAAACGGUUUGAAGAUUAGAGAUCCCUUGUUGUGCAUUCACGUGCCUCCAUGACUAGGUGGCUUAACCCCAACUAUGCUGUAAACACCCUAUGAUGGAGUGACUUUGACAUAGUCAAAGAUCAAGGACCUAACCAUAAGACAACUAUGAUGCCUCAGGUCAAAGGACUACUUUGCAUUAUCCCAACCAUGAGUUCUCAUGUGACAUGAGUAUGAGAACUCUUUGUUGCUCACAUUUAGUGGACUCAUUCUCUAUUGAGCACCUAUAUGCUUGUCUUGGUGUCAGUCACACUAAUGACUCAAGACCAGUCACUCUCUCUAAGAGAAGACAUAGCACAUACUGAUCUUAACGAACUGUUUCCAAUUGGCAAUCCUAUGAUCAGGAAUGUUUAGGAUAUAUAUAUGAAAGAGAAUGAUCUCAUGAAUCUAACUUCUUUAGAUCACAUUCUCCCAAUUACAUAUUCCUUGGACUUAUUGUUUAAGCAUAUAACAUUCAUAUGAGACGGCUUUAAACAAUAAAUUUUGCCCUUUAUAUUAAACUAGAUUAGUUUAACAUGUGAAAUGUCUGUAAAGUAUCAUCAAAUGAUUGCCUUUAUGGCACAUUUCCAACAAUCCCAUCUUAUUACAACGAGCGAGUAGUGAAUAUUACAUCAAAAUGAUCAAAAGUAUUAUCUUGAUGCACCAAUGUCUCAAUUUAGCAAGAAAGAUAGUGGUGCAGCAAGUUGAGUAGAUCUUUAUAAGUUUCAACUUUGGAAGACUACACAAAGGGGACCUUUACGGUCUACAAAAUAGGGUGGCCAAUGCCAUGCCUAAAAUAAACACCUACGAAUGAGGUUGCGCUUGUCUUUCACAUUAACGUCAAGCCAAUCCUUAUUGGCCUUGGCACUAUUAUGAAGAUUGGUGUAUGCCCGGAACAACUCAACACCUCUCUUGUAGGCCUUUUUUUUUCACCUCCAGCUCCUCGAAACUCUGUCCUCAUACGAACAGUGUUUCAGUUUGUGUUUUAGGAGUCUGACCUUGAAGUGGUUCCUUCGAGCUCGGAGUCUGUAGUCGUCAUCGAUAAACUUCAAUAGAUCAAUUCUUGUCCUACAUACCUCUUUUUCCUUUUCAAUUUCGAUGAUCUGAGUCUUGAAUAAUGCGACCUAUUGCCUAGCCAUGAUGUUUUCUGCAUUGAAAUUGAAGUUGUUAGUGACUUCGUUCUUAUGGUAUGCUUUCCCAGACUGUGUAGUACAAUAUAACAUUAUUGAACUAUUGUAGGCGUGGAGACUGAUUAUGUGAUGAAGUUUGCAAUGUGUUAGUGGUUGUGUGCAUGUGUGGAGUUAGUAAUAGCAAUAGUGUGUGAAGUUUGCAAUGUGUUAGUGGAUGAGGAAGAGAUUUUGGAGCCUGAAGUUCCAUACCUAAGUGCAAUUAGUUCUUUAUUGUACUUAACUCAAUGCACUAGACCUAACAUCUCAUUUGCUGUAAAUCUUUUGGCAAGAUACAGCAAUGCACUCACACGCAGACACUAGAAUAUUAUUAAAGACAUUUUCCGCUACCUUAAGGGUACAAUAGGUUUGGGUUUGUUCUACAUCCACGAAUCCUUGAGAUUUACCGUUGGAGACACUGCAAUUUCUUGGAGGUCUACCAAGCAAUCAUUAGUUGAGACUUUUUCGAACCAUGCUGAGAUUUUCACCUUGCAUGAAGUCUCACAUGAAUGCUUUUGCUUGAGAGCCGUCAUGGACAUAUUUGAAGUACUAGCUAUCUUUUACAGUCGUUGACGUUCCUGCGAUGAUCUUUAAAGACAACGCUGCAUGUAUCGAUCAAUUGAAGAACAUAUAUAUCAAGGGAGACCGCACCAAGCAUUGCAUCAAAGUUUUUUUAUUCUCACCAGCAACAACAACAUUAGAACAUUGAAGUCGAGCAAAUUUGUUCCCAGGACAGCCUAGCCGAUCUUUUCACGAAACCUAAGUUUACUUUUCUAAAGCUCGUCCAAGGAAUCAAUAUGCGUAAACUUUCUAACCUAAAUAGCUUGUAGUUCUCUUAUUUGGAAGUUAUGUCAAACUUAGGGGGAGUAUCUAGAAGCAUACUCACUUGAUCUUAUUGUAUUAUUCAGCCCACUUUUCCAUACGGGUUCUGUAGAUACUGCAAUACGCCCACUAUGCUUCUGUAGGUACUAGGGUUCGAGACAUGUUCACUACCAUGAUUCAGAAGCUUCUGAUUAGGAUAACACGGUGUGGAACAAGGUUUACAAUCCAAUAUAUCCAUCCUUUGAAGCAGUUCCUUGACAUAUUUGGAUUGAUGAACAAAUAGACCCUGAGACUGAUACUCAAUCUGUAGACCAAGAAAAAAAAUGCAAGAGACCCAUGUCUUUCAUUUCAAACUCACUUGUUAACUGAGUAAUGACAUCCUGAACCUUCACAUCAUCACUUCCAGUAAGAAUGAUAUCGUUAACAUAGAGAAGGAGAACAAUAAUGGAAGACUCAUGACACUUGACAAAUAAAGAAGGAUUGGCAUAUGAUGAUUUGAAUCCAAGUGUACGCAAAUAACCUGUGAACCGAUCAUUCCAGGCUCGAGGAGCCUGCUUAAGACCAUAUAAAGAUCUUUCCAACUUGCAGACAUAAUCUGGACACCUAGAAUCCACAAAUCCUUGUGGCUGAGACAUGUAGACUUCCUCAUCAAGAAAACCACGUAGAAAAGCAUUCUUGACAUCUAAUUGUUUAAGCUUCCAAUUAUGAGAUGCAGCCAAGGACAAAACUAAUCGAACUGUGGUUGGUUUAACCACAGGACUAAAUGUCUCAUAGUAGUCAAGACCAGCCUCUUGAGAAUACCCCUUAGCCAUAAGUCUAGCUUUGUACCGAGCCACGGAUCCAUCUGGAUUUUUAUUGAUCUUGUAAAUCCACUUGCAACCAACAAGGUUUUUUUUCAGGUGGUAAAGGCACAAGCUUCCAAGUUUGUUGCUGAAUGAGAGCAUCCAUCUUUUCUUUCAUGGCAGUUUGCCAUUGAAUAGACUUAACAGCAUUAGAGAAAGACUAAGGUUCCUUAACUUCAGAGUCUUGACCAAUGUGAGCAGACAACACUGUCUUUUUAACAAUUCCAGACUUAGAUCUGGUUUGCAUAGGAUGACAAUUCUGUGCAGUAAUACACACUGGUUGUAGAUCCUCAACUUGAGACUCAUUAGUAUUUAGAUGUUCCUCAAAAUACACAGAAGGAAGAACCUCUGAAGAAGUCUCAGCAGUAGUGGAUGAAGGAGCAAGAUCACCAGAAGUAGGAUGCGAAGAAGAGAUGGACUGAGUAAAAUGUUGUGGUCUAGGAGAAACAGAGGUAGGUUGUGAUGAACCAAGAAAAGGAAAAAUGGAUGGAAUGCUAAGUGAAUGGGUGAAUGUGUUAUGAUGCAUAAUAGACACUGGUAAUGAAGUAGAAAUAGAAGCACCAGUAGAAGUAAAAGGAACAGUAUCAGAGAAUGAAUGAAACCUGGAUUCAUCAAACACAACAUGUCUAGAUACCAACAAUUUAUUACUUAUGAGAGAGAAAUAAAUAUACCCUUUGUAUUGAAUGGCAUAUCCCAGAAAAAUACACUCAAUAGUUUUGGAUGGAAGCUUUUUUUCUUUGUAUGAUUUCAAGGAAGGAUAGCACAAACAUCCAAAAAUUCUUAAAUGAUCCAGUUUAGGUGGAGACUGAUAUAAGAAUUCAAAAGGAGACUCAUAUGAAGAACUGGUGUGGGCAUUCUAUUUAUGAGAAAGGUAGCAGUUGCACAUGCAUGAAACCAUAAUUGGGAAGGUAAAGAAGCUUGCUGCAAAAGGGUAAUAGCAGUUUCUACAAUAUGUCGAUUCUUUCUCUCGGCCAACCCAUUUUGUUCUGGGGUAUAAGGACAGGAUUUUUGAUGAAUAAUGCCUUUAGUAAGAAGAAAACUUUGAAAUUAAGGACUAAUGUACUCCCCACCCCCAUCACUUUGUAAAAUUUUCACAUGAGCAGCAAACUGAUUGGAAACAAAAGCAAGAAAAUUAACAAACACAGAGAACAUUGCAGCUUUAUUUUGUAGAGGAAAGGUCCAUGUAUAUCUGGUACACUCAUCAAUGAAGGAAACAUAAUACUUGUAACCUUCAAUAGACACACUAGGCGAGGGACCCCAUACAUCAAUGUGAAUUGCUUCAAAUGGAAUACUAGAUUCUGAAGCAAUUGCAGGAAAAGGUAAUUUGGUAAACUUGCCUUGCAAACAAGCUUUACAAGUGUGAAACUGAGUAUUACAAGAAAAGGGAUAUGCGAUUUACUAAGUGCUGCAGUGACUAUAGAAUGUGCAGGAUGACCUAAUCGACAAUGCCAUAAGUUUGAGGAGAUUUUCUGUCCCACAAAUGCAACUGGAUUAGAAGCAGGAGAAAUAGACCUCUAUGGUUUGAACAUAGGAAGGGGAUAGACCGCAUUGUUACUCAGCCCUUGAAAUACCAUUCUCCCGGUGACCUUGUCAUGUAUACAAAGAGAAACAUCAUCAAAUAUACAUCAACACUUGUUAUAUUUGCAUAAUUGAUGCAUGGAUAACAAAUGCUGAGACAAUUUUGGAACAUGCAACACAGAUUUCAACUUGAAAAUAUGUGAGUUAGUGGAAAGAGAGGAUGAACCAAUAUGUUUGAUAGUUAAACCUUCACCACUAGCACUGGUCACAGUGUCAUUGGAUGGAUAAGGUGUCACCAUGUGCAAAUUGGACAAGUCGGAGGUCAUAUGGUUGGUUGCUCCAGAGUCAAGAAGCCAGAAAUCUUAUUGAGGAACUGAGGAUGAUGAACCAGCACAGGCUUGCAUAGCAAGUGGAGCAGGAGGCUGAGACAUAGCAGAAAGAUGCAUUUGAUGCAUGGUAGAAGAUGGAAAUGGUGAAUCAGGUGACGGUGAGACCAUGUUCUGUGGAGGACAAGAAGAAUUCCACAUAUGAGAAUGACCAUGGUCAAUUCGUCAUUGGAGCAUACAUAGGUGCCGAGACACCCUGAGAAAAUGGUCCGAAGAAACCUGGAAAAGUCUUGUUUCAAUCAAAACAUGUAGCAGCAACAUGGCCAACUCGAUGACAAAUCUGACAUCCAUGUUGAAAGCAAUUUAAGGCAGAAUGUCUUUUGCGAUCACAAAUUUGAUAGAUUUGAUUCGGAUUAUAAGCAGGAGACGAAGGUUGUUGCGUGCCAGUGUGCUGAAAUGAAUUGUAUGCAUCAUAAGACUGAGGCUGAACAUAACCUCCAUAAUUGUGAAAUUGUCCUCUAGAGUUGUUACCAUAAAAUUUCUUCCCUUUUCCUUUGCUUUUGUAAUUAUUUCCUCAAAAAUUAUUGUAUGAGCCAGAACCAUGUUGAGUGACAAAUUCCAUGGGAACAUUAGUCAUGUAUGGCAUAGGCAGUUGUUGAAAACCUUGAGGCACUUGCUGAAAACAUUGAGGAAGCAUAGAUGACAAUGGCAUAAAUGGCAUUGUGGAACUAGAAUUGCCAGAAAAACCUUGAGGCAGUUGAGAGACAGACUUUGUCCCUGAUAAAGUCCCAUGAUCAGAAAUGGAUCCAGUGGUUUGAGUAUACAUAGCAGACAUUAAAGGAAUCUAUUUAGUAGCUUCAUCCAAAGUUGUUUCUUCUGCCUUCAACUGAGAUCUUAAUUCCUUUAGUGAAACAAGAUUCUCCCAUCCUCGAAUGACUGCCUUGAUGGUAUUAUACUCACUUGGUAGACCACGUAGUGCCACAAUUACAAUAUCCUCAUAAAAAAUGGUUACACCAGUGGCAGCGAGUUGAUCUCGAGAAUCCUUGAUCUUUUGAAGAUAUGUAUCAACAGAUUCCGAGCCUUUCUUGAUAUUCUGCAAAUCAAUCUUGAGUUGAACAAUGCUAGUUCUAGUAACACUAGAGAAAUGUUCCCUAAGAUUCAUCCACAUCUCUUUGGAACUCCGACACCCAAUAAUACAUGAUAAAGCAGAAGGAGACAAUGUAGCAGAAAUCAGUGUCAUCAAAGCUUUGUAAUGAAUUUUCCAUACACGAUAUGCAUCAGAGACAUGGGGAUUAUUAUCAACAGUUUCUUCAUUAGAAUUAGGCUCAACAAACUGAUCAGGACAAGGAAUAGACCCAUUGACAAACCCAAUGAUUCCAUUGCCUUCCAACAGUAGGUCCAUUUGAAAACUCCAGGUGACAUAGUUGGAAUCAUCAAGUUUCACUGAAACCGUAUUCCCAACACUUGGAAUUAAGGAAGAAAUAGGUGAUUGUGUAAAAGCUAAUUUCAUAAAAGUCACCAUAGCUCACAGUAGAGAACCGACAACAAAACUUCAACAAUCUUGAAACAAAUAGAGGAGUCAAGAACAACCCACAACUGCAAUUUAAUCCACUAGCAACAGCAAGAAACCAGUAAUCGCAAGAAAUCACCAAGAAAACACAAAAACCCCCAAAUCUUAGGGUUACAAAGAAAUGAAGCCAAUGCUCAGAGCAACUAUAACAAGCAAUUGAAGGUAAAAGAAUCGACAACACCUAAUUCACGACAACGAUAACGAUUUAUGGAAAGCAAACAACUCAGCAUUCGAUUACAAUCACACUGACAAUCGAGAACGACAACAACUAGAUUCGUAACCUGAGAAGAUGAAAUGGAUGAGCAACGAUCUCACCAAGCACCGACAACAAACAAAGAAGAACGGCGGAAGCACGAAGGAUCUUCAACUGGAGGCGUGAGCCACUUCCGGCGAUGAUACCAUGAAAACUAUGUAAAAACCUUAAGAGCUAAGGAAACAAGAGAGAGAAAGAAGAGAGGGAAAUGUUGUUAUAAAACUGACUGAACACUUUUAUUCAACUUGUAUAAAAUAAUUACAACUCUUGGUAUUUAUAGACCUUUCUACUAAUUAAUCAAUACCACUACCAAUAAUACAUGAACACUUGUCACAAUCCUAUGCAUUCAUAAUAUUAUCAACUCUAACAAAUACAUGGUACAUGUGCCAAAUUUGCUGGCCAGAAUCAAUAUUUGAGGAAGGCUGUUGAUUUGUGGAAGGUGAGCAAUGUUAUAGACAUGUUAUGCAAACACCAAAUCACUUCCCAGCGAAAGUUGUAUACUCUAAAUAAUACUGUGAGUGCUAUAGAAAAUGAAAUUAAUGACGCACAAGCUGGAAACCGCUUGAAGCCUAUGUUUAGGUGCUUCAAAGACUACGGUUAUAACUGGCUAUAGGAAGUUGCAUUCUGCUACGACCCUACUGGCGCAAACGGGAUUAAUUGUACUCUUGUUACUCACGUUCAGUCACAAUAUUCAUGUGGACAUAAUAUUUAUUUUUAAGUUCAAUAAUUAUAUGGGAUAUCAUCAAUACUCUUGCUUAGUACUGUUUGGUCUUGAAAUAAUUAUAUUGUAAUCACCAAACUUUCUGUAAUAAUAUUACACUAAAAUAAAAUGAAAGUUAGCAGUAGGCCUAGCGCUAAGCCUUGCCGAUCCAAGGUAGCAAGGGGAGCAGUAGCAGCCCACGUAGAGGCAACCCAUUGCAGUAGCCUUCUAGGCCGAAUACCACGCAAAAGUGCAUGCAGUUGUAGCUUAGGUCCAACUGGCUAACCUGCUCCAACAAAAUGGAUAUACGCCCCUUGCGCUCAAAUUGGUCCACGGCAACUCAAAAUUUUUUUGGCAACCAUCUUGGCCUUUUUCGGCUUUCGGGACCUAUUUUUUGGUGUUUCAGACUCGUAUUCGGUGUUUUUGACAUGUUUUUAUGCAAAUUUAGCUUGUUAAAGCUCAAAUUUCAUGCUCGAUGUCCACUACACUUCAGACAAGUUGCUCAACUCCAAAUGGCGAUCCAUACAUAUCCCGGUAGAACACAGACUCAACCAGUGCCCUCGCACAACAAUUUACCUUAACGAAUCAACUCCUUGAGCACAUCAACAAGCAGCGCACUCUUGACAAAGUGUCUCAAAGCAAGACAGAAGCUGAUGCUGAUAUUCUUUCCAAAGGCGUCCGGACAAGCAACAACUCAACCAGCCAUAAACUAGGCGUUCAGACAGCGUGCACUCCCUCAUCGGACCCUGUGGAAACAUUUUUGCAUGCCUUAAUGCGCUGAGAAACUGGCCACCCCUUGAAAAAGCUAACAAGCGAGUGCAUAUCCAUGGUUGGAUUCAAGCUCUGAUGAACACUCAAGACUCGAGUCCGGCGCAUUGUUCACUCGCAACAUGGCUCACAAGGAGUUCCUCCCACCUUAUAUCAGAGUAGGCAACAUUGAGGAUACUUAAGCUCAAGCUCAAGUUUAACUAGUACUUAACAACUAGCGCAAUCAUGAGCAGCCCGCUCAUAAGCUAGAGAAGAACGACGUGUAACGCAAUCGUAAGACAAAUAAGCAGACCGCUAAGAGAAGUAGCACAAACUUGCAAACUACUGCCCGAGGUAGUCGAGGCACCAUUGCCCAAAUGAAGGAAGUAGGAACGCUCAAAUUCAAGUUCAAUUGGCAAUCUACGCUAAGCGCGACCAUGAGCAGCUAUAUUCCUAACCAAGAAUGAACGACGUAUACCAUAAUCACGACACAAACGAGUAAGACAUAAGAAAGGCAACACAUAUCUGUAGGUCACCGCCGGGGUAGUCGAAGGCUCCGCUACCUCAAUAAAGGAAGAUCCAGGAAGAAAUAGCGCACGAAGACCACCAACGAUACACUCUAUAAGGCUAUAACUGUGCCAAAAGGUCCAAAGUAGAAAAGACUAACAUUGUCGGAAGUGAUGAUACAAUAGCCAAUGCAACAUUAAAAAAAUGGACCAGAAGUAGUAUGGGAAGAGAACAAGCCGAUAGGAAAAUGCAGGGACCAUUCCUAGAUGAAAGGAGGCCCAACACCCAAUACAUUCAUGACGUUCUCAAUCCCGAUCAACCAUAUCCUUCAUGACUUCAAGAAUGAACCAUUGUUUAAACGGCCACCACUCUCGAAGGAGGAUACCACCAAGCUACACAAGCUGAAACAUUGCACAUUCCGGAGGAGUCCAAGACACCCUACAGACAACUGCUACUAUUAGAAGCAGUACCUCGAGAGAUCACUAGGUGAAGCACGCCAACGCUGAAUCCUUAGCCAAAACAAUUUGAAUCUGAGUACUUGGGGGCCAUCAACAAUUCUAAGAAGAGGAAGAUCCAACAUGCCUUAUCGGUCUCUCCGGUUUAGGCAGUAGACGCUAAAUUUCAAAUCAUCGUUGGCUUUACCGAGCAGGAUCCCCAAGGGAUAAACUCCCCUCCCUGUAGGACUACGCCUUGGUCAUAUCUGUCUAACUGGCCCAUACUAUAAUCGACAUAAUGAUGAUGGAUAAUGGCAGUGCAGUUAACCUACAUCAAUUUUCAAUCAUUUAGAUGAUGGGCUUGGAAAGCCCGAUCAUACGCCAAGUGGAUGUACUCACCAGAUUCAACUGUCACACCUCGACUGUCAUCAACAAAAUAACACUCAAUGUGAGAACACCACCAGUUAUCUCAAAGUAGACUUUCACAUAAGCAACGAUCUCGUCUCCCUAUAAUGGGAUCCUAGGUAGGCGCUAACGAGUGAGAUUGGGCGCCGUAACCUCUGUCGAGUACCAGAAAAUCCAAUUUCGCAUCCUAGGAUGAGGAGUCUGAAAGAUUAAGUCAAACCAGGUUGCAUCCUGAUGAUGCAUUGUACAAGUUCUGAAAGAGUCGAAGAAUAAGUUUUUUACCCCAGUAAAGGUUACUGAGGUGCAGAAAGACGACUCUACCUCAACCAAAUAGCAAUUAUAGCUAACAGGUCAAACUACAUCAAUAACUUGGCGGAGGUAUUCUAUAUCCUCAAAGAUUACAAGAUGAUGGCCAACCCCGCCAAAUACACAUCCAAAGCAGAUUCGAGCGAUCUUGGAUAUGAAGUCCCCUACUACUCUGAAGGAGACUCAAGGUCUAACCAGAUGAACAAUUUCACUCAACCAUUUUCCAUUGCGAUCCACCGACCGAUGUAAGACUUUUUUUUUGUAAUCGAGAUGGAGCAACAAGACAAAUAUGACGAUAAGUGUGAGAAAGAAUUUGAAGACUUGAAGUAGUACUUGACAUCACCUCCUUGCCAUCCAAGCCAAAAGCAACAGAUGACUUAUUUACAUGCUUGGCAGUAUCUGAAGCAGCAGUAAGCUCUACCCUUAUACGAGAAGAGUUAGGGGCCCGACUACAAGUAUUGCAUAGUUUAAAAGCUUUUCUCGACAGGGAAACUUGUCGUCAAUGGGGUGUUUUUGGUGCAAACAUUUGCAAAGUUGUUAGCCAUUGGGUCCGCAAUUAGAUGUUUUACUUACAGAAGCAGAUAAGUCUAUGUGAGCACUUGGCUAUUAGCUUUGGCUUUCUAGGGCAUUGAUUCUCCAAUCAUUUGAGUUUCGUGGCCUGCAUCAUAACAUACUAAAUAUUGCUAGAACAUGAAAUUUGCUAACCCUUAGUCUCAAAAGUACGAUGGUAUAUGGAAUUUCGUGGGCAAUAGUCCAAAAGAACACUUUGCACUUUAUAUAACUAAUUUCAUUUGCCGCAUAGCAAGUAGAACAACACUUUGGGAAUAAAUGUAACCCGAAGGGGUUGCUCUGCCCUUGGUAGGGAUAAAACUCGUAGGCUGCAUAGCUUGAAUGAUUAGCUUAUGGACUUGCACUAAAAUAUUUUCUAUUAUACCUCUUGGAUAUUUAACUGAACAAUUAGGGAGUUGUAGAGACGUUGUAACCUUCAAAUCCCCCUAAUCCCAAUUAAAUGUAUAUUGAGUAAGGCAUUAAAUUGAUACUUGCCCCUACAUCUAGCAAGCCUUUUUCAAGCUCUGUAUUACCAAUAGUAAUAUUUAUAUUAAAACUCCCAUGAUCUUUCAAUUUUGAUGGCAAUUUCCUUUGAAGCAUUGCACUUACCGUUUCAGAAACCAUUACAUUUUCAUGUGGUUCAUACUUACGCUUAUAAGUAUUAAGUCCCUUGAAUUUUUUUUGCAUAAGCCGGCAUGUUCCUAAUCAUAUCAAGCAAAGGUAAGUUCACAUUAACUUAAGAUAAUAUAGUGUAAAUUUUAGUGAAAGACUUAUCCCAUUUUCUUUUAUUUAGGCGGCUCACAAAUGCAACAGGUGGAACGUAAGGCUUGGGUACCUAGUCGAUAUUGGGUGUAGCUAAAGGGUGCUUCUCCUUGACUAGAGGAGCUGUCCCAACAAUUAGAACAUUCAUGUCCAAUUUUGGGUUGCUGCCCAUGAUCUUCUUGGGUGGCUCCUCCCCCAUCUCUUUUUCUUCAACUUUUUCACCUACAUCAUUAAUUAACACAUCAAUGGAUUUAGAAUUUAGUUUAGUAUUAAUUCUUACUACUCUGAAGUAUUGUUAUCGCCUUAGCUUACUCUGGUUAGCUUGGAAUUUUUCUAGGAACAUGGCUUCACAUGGCAUCUAUAAUCUGCCCAACUUGUACUUCCAACUUCCUUAGAGAUGCCUCUUGUUGUUGAAAUUUUUGUUCAUUCUUUGUUGGCUAUUUUGGCAUACUAGCAUGAAAUUAUUCAACGUGUCAUCUAACAAGGGCUUUCUUUGUUAGAAAGAAAAGCUAGCAUGAUUUUGAUAUUGGUCAUUAUUCCAAGAAAGAUUAGGAUAAAACCUCCAACCCGGAUUAUGAGUAUUUUAAAAAAGAUCAAAUUUAGACUUCCUAUUGUAGGUAUUCAUCAUAUUAGCUUACUCUUGAAAAUAUUCUGGAAAAACCUCACUAGAUGGACAAACAUUAGAAACAUGACAAAAAAUACCACAUAUUGCACAUACCUCACUAGAAGCAGAUCCAUUAUUCAUGACUACGUUGCUCAAUGUUUUGAUUUGUUUGGUUAAGUUUGCCACCUGCAUAGCAAGGUCAUUAUUAGGAAUGAUUUCAUAAAUGCCUGAACACUUACCUUUAACACUUUUAUGCUGAGAAAUUGCACCAAGCAUCUUAUAUAGCUCACAAGUUUGUUGUGCAGUCUUUUCAUCCAUGGCACUACCUACAACGUUAUCAAUAGUAGCCUGACAGGCUUGAGUUAAUUUAUCAUAGAAAAACUGAGCAUUUUAAAGCAUUCCUAAGCUUCAUGGAGUGGCUACCCUCCAUCUGGGAAAAUGUGGCGAUCUUACUCCUGAGUUCAGUAGUCUUCUGAUGCUAAUAACGUUUUCCAACAAACUUAUUGUAAACUGCGUGUUGCAAGUGCUCUGGGUGUCUAAGACAUAGUCAUUGCUUAGCCUUGUCCUUCAUAGUAUAUGGAAAACACCUCAUCCGCAAUUGAUCUUCACUAAAUCCCUGCUGAGGAAAAGUUUUAAAGUGUAGCAUAAAAAUCAUGAAUGAAUGAAAAAGGAUCUUCACUUGCAACACCAUAAAAAGAUGGAGGCAUAUUAAAAUGAGUAUUUUUCAGCUCAUAGUUUCUAGCAAUAGCAUCUAGUAAAAUGCAUGAUGGUGAUGAUUCAACAACUACGCAGACAAAUUCUUUCAUGGGACAUGGAUUUUCUUCUGCCAACUUCUUAUGGACGUCCUCUUCUCUCUCUUCUAAUUCUGAUGUGGAAGUUUCAUUUUGAGUAAAUUCAAAUUCACGAUCUAACUCUUAUCCUUCCUCGCACUUUUUUGUAGCUUUUCUUAUUCGACCAAUAUUACCGUCAAUCGGCAAUAGUUCUCCGUCUUUGAUUGAUGACCUGGCAUUCAUUACCUAUAAAACAAAUAAAUUUAGGGAAAUAAAAUAAACAAAUUCAGGGGACACAUAUAGCUAGAAAUAAUUAGAUAGGACUUUCAAACAAAUCCCCAACAGCAGCGCCAGAAACUUGAUAACAAAUUUAUUUCUAGCAAGUGCACAAAUUGAUAUGAUAGUAUAGUACAAGUGUCGUACCCACAUAGAUUUGUAAAGUUACCUAAUUAAGUCCAAUUAUGCAGUAUCCACAAGACUAAAAAUAACAAAAAUAACUAAACUAUGAAAUUUCAAAUAAUUAACCAAAGAGAAGUUGAUUUAAGAUCAAGUAAUCUAAAGUGCAGUAAAAAAAAAGUGUGUAAUUAAUUUCUGAAAACAAUGGUUGAAAUACCAGGUAUCCGACUUCCACCAUAUCAAUCCAAUUCUAUGUCAAUAGAUAACUUAGUAAAUAAAAAUUCAAUGCAGGUUUGUUCUCUCUUUAUUAUGAUCGUCAGUUAGGUGUCUGAAUGUAAUCAAGUACUUUUAAUCAUCAACUUAACAAUGACAUCUAGUCUAAGUCAACAAUAAAAAAUCCAUUAAAUACAAGAAGAACAAAGAGAACCAAAAAGUGUCUUAGCAUGGCAUCUACAUCAACAACAAUUCGUUCAUCCAAGAGAGAUAUCUCAGGGCUAAGCAUAUGGCGUUUACUAUAACCUUGUCUCGUACAUCUAAAAAUUCAUAUUAAAGGUAGCUAAUCAAUAACAUGAACAUAAAAAAUGAUUUAAGCACAAUGACUGAAACUAGAAACCUUUGAACUAAUAAAAGAAUAAAGUUAACUAAGACAUAGAAUUAUCAUAAAGGGCUACAUCAGAUCUCUAGUAAAGAAUUUAGUUACUCAUAGCCAUCAAAUUACAAAAUGUCAUAGUUAUGAAAAUCAUACAUGCAAAGUCUGAAAAGAUAUUGAAAAACCUUUAGAGAACCCUUGGUGUUUGGCAUUUUCCUUGAGUCAAUCGUCUAAAAAAAUCUCAUAAAGUGAGUCUCCCCUAAACGCUGCUGCUUCUCCUCCUUAAAAUAAACGUAGAAAAAUAGAGUUUAAGUCGGCCUUGCUGCCUUGUUGAAUUCCAGCCCAAAUAGGAGUACCAAUACCAUUAGACUUUGGUUUCCUUGCUCAAACUGAACUCCAAUUACCGUGAGCAAUUAUAAGUGUCUUCUAAUUGAAUUAGACAAGAGUUUGAUGCCUCCUAUCUGCCCAAAAAUCGUCCGCAACUUGAUCAUCCAAAGGCAACAAUUUGUACUCCACUUAAUUAGAAUCACGUAGAAUUCUUGAACUGACCUUCUUGCACUAAAGCUGGUAUAAUUUCUUCUAGAAACUUUAGAAUCAUGAUCCAUAAAAUUCUGCCAAAACUAGACAUUUGGAGCUUUCCAUACAUAUGUGGCACAACACCCAAUAUGUCCUAUUGAAUUUCUGACUACCCAAAGUAAAAAGACAGUUCUACCCAGCACCUUCCAGCAACAGUUAUAAUUUCCAAACAGUAGCCAUUAAAUUGCAGAUUGAACAUCCAAUUAGAAUCUGAUGAUCAUUAAAAUCCUUUUUUACUUCAUUUCUUUCCAGCUUUGGCCCUUUAGCCUUAAAUCACCAAAAGACUCCAAAGUCUUCUCUACGGUCCAUUAUCUACAAAAUACACACUAGACACAUCAAGCCACCAAUUUCACAAGAAAACAUAGCAUAAAACUUAGGAAAUAAGGACAAUAUAAAUGUAUAAAUAUUGUGUUAUCAAAUACCCUCAAACCUGUCUUUUGCUAGUUCUCGACAAAAAUUUAAACAAGACACAACUAAAACUAACAAUAAAAUGAAGAAUUAAUCUAAGCCACUUUCAUAGGGAAUCACGAUGGCACUCAGCAUGUGCCACAAGCCCUUAACCCCUAGGUGUCCCUAGUAGGAGGAGUAGUGUCUCUUGAGGGUUUACCAAUUAUGUUACCCACAAACGUUUUACUGCAAACAAAGUUGUUAAAGAUAUCACUUCCAUAAAUUAAUGAAAACCAACGUAUGCCAAUCACACUUCCAAAACUAAAGUUGUACCUUUAAAAGCCAGCACACCACAUGAAAAAGUAUGUAGCCAACAUCUCAAGCACUCAAGCUUAAAAGAAUCCACACUCGGUGUGUGCACAAAUUUGCCUUGACUUCAUUCUCACUUAGAUAUUUCUCAAUUUUCUCUCAAAACCUAGGCUUUCACUCUUAACAAGCAUAUGUGAUGAAGUUAUUCAAGGGGAAUCAAAAUAUAAUCACAUCUGAGUAAUAUUAAAAAAAACGACAAUUUCUGAAAAUAGAUCUCAUGAAAGGAAUCGAAUACUAAGAACAUAGCUAUUUAUCUUCAUCAUUUAAGCAAGGCUUCCAAAUAAAUCCGUUAGAUCUUUACUAUGGUCGUAAUGUAAGGCUAGGGUAAAGGCUACGAAAGAAGGGAUAGAGAAAAACUAAAACUUGAGAUAUACCUAGAUUUUUUCAUAUGCAGUUUGGCUAGCCCUCAUUUGAAACUUGAUGUAUGAUUUUCGAUGUCUAGGACUCAUGUAAUAAGAAAGGAACAAUUUCUAGUUUAUCUAAUUUCUUUGAUACAUUUUUCUUCCUUUUGUUUUUCUUUUCUUCAUUCUUUUUCUUUUCUUUUCUUUUUCUUAUUUUUUUUUCUUGAAACAAGAAACUGAAAAAUAAUGAUAUGACACAUAGUACCUCGGUACACAUCACUUCUUUGGUGUAGAUAUCAACCCUUAUUUUCAUUUUCAUCAUCUUGGUAUCUACCAAGCUAUAAGGUAUAGCUACAAUAGUGCAAAAUAGGUAGAGUAUAAUGUGGGGAAUGAGAUGAAAGAAUUGGCGAAGUGUUUGGCUUCAAAUGGGAUAUUGGCGCACACAAAAGGGAGGAAAUAAGGCCAUUUAGUGGUGGAUACAUGCAUAGCCUAACUUCAUCUCUAUAGUUCCAUCUAACCCAAUGGCAAAAGUACCCAACAUAUAGAAAAGUUCUUUAGCAUCCAAUGCAAAUUAUAAAAAUCAACGAAAGAAUUAGAAAAGGUGUUUAGGAGUAAAAACAAUGAAACACUCUCAACAAAAGCAUAGGCUCAAAAUCUCACAAGGGUAGUCUCCAUUAUUUCUCCAAAUAUCUGAACAUAGACAAUUUGUUCGCCAAAACACUUGAAACAUGGCAAAAUGAAUGAUUAAAAGUAGUAUGAUGCACAAACCUCUUAGGCAACCCAUUAGUAAAGGUAGAAUGAUUUAACACAUUAUAUACAUUGCCAUUAAUAAGUUAAAGUGACACCCAUAACAUCUCAUAUUUGGAAACACUUUAUUUUUGUGCUUUUCUUUAAGCCCCACCCAUGGUUUAAUUAAUUUUAAGACAUCCUCAAUGCAAAAUCCUAUGCAAUUCCUCAACGUAUGACUAUAAAAAGAAGACAACACAGAUAAAUUAUACAAAGGAAAAUGAUACAUCUAUCAUGGCUCCAAAUUGUGGAGGAAUGGUAGCUCAAACCACUUUUGUACGCUUGUAUACACAUGUGGAUUUCUUGUUGUUAAGUAGUCUAGUUUGGCAUGUAGUUGUUGUUACCGUAAGCCUAAUAUAUAGAUAUACUGAGAUCGGGCGACAAGAGGUACUUACCUUCUGCAUGCCGGGAUCAUAAAUGCAGUCUUUCGAGCUCUUUAGAGCGUUAGAAUGCGUAUUCUGGUCCUCAUGUGGGCGAUUCCCCAUCUUCUUGUUUCAUAAUUUUUAACUAAGCGGCAAACCCGACGUGACUGACUUGUUCUCUCUUCAACUCAUCGCUUUAUAGGUAGGCAUUUUUAUUGAGAAUUAUGGUAACCACCUUUUAAAAAAGUAGUCGAGCUCUCACAUGUGGCAAAAAACCAGUAGGGCAACAACAACAUUUCUUUCUUUUUCUUCGAUCUUAUGAGCUUUUGAUCCAUUUCAAAAAAAAAUUUGGUCAUCUGAGAAGCUCAAACCUGGUCCUAAUCAAUUAACUCAUUCUAGCAUGUCUACAGCCUCAAAUUAUCCUUCAAAAAAUUCCUAAAGAAAAAUAUACUCAGAAUCUCAAAUAUGCUAUGAACUGAAAAUGCAAUUUUUUGAAAUGAUAUGAUUAUCUUGAACCCAACUAAUGACGACAAAAAAAAAAUUCCUUAAACAUUUCGACAACCUGGAAUUUUCUCAUGGGUCAUAAAAUCAUUUUCAACCAAUACUUCUCAAACACAAAUUCUUUUGUUCUCUGACACAAAAAUUAAAAUAAGAAAACAAAAGUUUUCCACCCCCAAACCAAAACUAAACAUUGUCCUCAAUGUUUAUGAUAAAAAAUUAUGCAAUGAGUAGAAACGGUAUAGAAAGUAUGGAAACACAAACAAAUACAAAAACAAAAAUAAAAGAAUAAAGUUACCGAGGUGGGUUGCCUCCCACCAAACGCUUUAGUUAACGUCUAGGCAAGAUGGAAUGCACGGUUUAAGGCUUGUUUAGGUCAAAGAAAUCAACCACCUCAUGUGGAGGAUUUGAUUCAAAUAUGAUUGGAUCAAUAAAGCGUAACGAGAAGUGCUCAUUUCUAGUGGCAACAUUAAGCUUUCUAUAAUCAAUGCAAAUCCUCCAACCCUAGUCACCCUUGUUGGCACUACUUCCUUAUUGUCAUUAUUGACCAUCGUAAUUCCAUAUUUCUUUGGCACUGCUUUUGAGUCGGAAAGCUCGACAGGGGCAGUAGGUGCAACAUUAAGAGGCUGCGGUACUGUAGUUUUUAUUGCUUCCAUGAACUCCCCUAUAUCUUCAUCACAAUUCCCACCUUCUUCUACCAAUGUUAAGGUUUCUUCCAAUUUAUUUUUCAUUUUAUCAUGCGUCAAAUUAGAAGCAACAGCCGAAUCCAAAGAGUUAAUAGAAAAACAAUCAAUCAUACACAUUGGAAGGAUGAGGUAGGGAAUCAAACAUUUUAAAUUCUCCGUUCACAUCAAGGAUUGUCACAGUGAGCUUGCCAUUCUAAACAUCAAUAAUUGUCUUGGCAAUUGCCACGAAUGAACGUCCAAGCAAAAUAGGAAAUUCCUGAUCAUGAAUUGGUGCAUCCUCCAUAUCUAAGACUAUGAAAUUUGCAGGAAUGAUUAGCUUAUCGACUUGCCCAAAAAUAUUUCCUACAAUACCUCUUGGAUAUUUAACUGAACGAUCAACCAGUUGUAGAGACAUUGUUGUAGGCUUCAAAACCCCCAAUCCCAAUUAAAUGUAUAUUGAGUAAGGCAUUAAAUUGAUACUUGCCCCUAAAUAUAGCAUGGGUUUUUCAAGCUUUGUAUUACCAACAAUAAUAUGUAUAUUAAAACUCCCAGAAUCUUUCAAUAUAGGUGGCAAUUUCUUACAAAGCAUAGCACUUACCGUUUCAGAAACCAUUACCUAUUUGUGUGGUUCAUACUUACGCUUAUAAGUAUUAGGUCCCUUGAAAAUUAUUGCAUAAGCCUGCAUGUUCCUAAUCAUAUCAAGCAAAGGUAAGUUCACAUUAACUUUAGAUAAUGUAUUGUAAAUUUUAGCGAAGGACUUAUCCCAUUUGCUUUUAUUUAGGCGGCUCGAAAAUGGAACAGGUGGAACGCUUGGGUGUCUUGUGGAGAUUGGGUGUAGCUAAAGGUUGUUGUUCAUUCACUUGAGGAGUUAUCCCAGCAAUCAGAAUAGGUCCAUUCAUGUCCAAUUUUGGGUUGCUACCCGUGAUCUCCUUCAAUGGAUUUAGAAUUUAGUUUAGUAUUAACUACCUUACCACUCCAAAGUAUUGUUAUCGUCUUAGCUUGCAUUGGUUAGCUUGGAAAUUUCCAGGAACAUGGCUUCACAUAGCAUCUGUCCAACUUGUACUUCCAGCUUCCUUAGAGAUGCCACUUGCAGUUUAAAUUUUUGUUCAUUGUUUUGUUGGCUAUUUUGGCUUACUUGCAUGAAAUGAUUUAACGUGUCAUCUAACGAGGGCAUUCUUUGUUGGAAAUAAGAGCUAGCUUGAUUUUGAUAUUGGUUAUUAUUCCAUGAAAUUAUGAUGAAACCUCCAACCCGGAUUAUAAGUAUUUAAAAAAGAUAAAAUUUUGAUUUCGGAUUGUAGGUAUUUAUCAUAUUAGCUUGCUCUUGUAAACAUUCCAAAAAAGCCUCACUAGAUGGACAAACAUUAGAAACAUGACAAAAAAUACCACAUAUUGCACAAACAUCACAAGAAGCAGACCCAUUAUUCAUGACUACAUUGCUCAAUGUUUUGAUUUCUUUGGUUAAGUUUGCCAUCUGCCUAGUAAGGUCAUUAUUAGAAAUGAUUUCAUAAAUGCCUAAACACUUACCACUAACACUUUUUAUGCUGAGAAUCUGCACUAAACAUCUAAUAUAGCUCACAAGUUUGUUGUACAGUCUUUCCACCCAUGGCACCACCUACAUCAUUAUCAACAGUAGCCUAAUAGGCUUGAGUUAAUCCAUCAUAGAAAAACUGAUUCUAAUUCUAAAGUAUAAUGAUAGUGAGGACAUUGGAUUAGAAGCAUUUUAAAGCGUUCCUAAGCUUCAAGGGGUAGCUCACCCUCCAUCUGGGCAAAAGUGGCGAUCUUACUCCUAAGUUCAAUAAUCUUCUGAUGCUAAUAAAAUUUUCCAACAAACUUAUUAUAAAUUGCUUCCCAUGUUGCAAGUUAUAUGGGUGUCUAAGACAUAGUCAUUGCUUAGCCUUGUCCUUCAUAGUAUAUGGAAAACACCUUAUCCGCAAUUGAUCUUCACUUAAUCCUUGCAAAGGAAAAGUUUGAAUUGUAGCAUAAAAUCACGAAUGAAUGACAAAGGAUCUUCAAUAGCAACACCACAAAAAGAAGGAAGCUUAUUAUAAUGAGUAUUUUUCAGCUCAUAGUUACUAGCAAUAGCAUAUAAUAAAAUGCAUGAUGGUGAUGUUUCAACAACUGGGUGGGCAAAUUCUUUUAUAGGACGUGGAUUUUUGUCUGCCAUCUUCUUAUAGACGUCCUCUAUGUCCUAUUCUCUAUCUUCUUAUUUUGAUAUGGAAGUUACGUUUUGAGUAGAAUCAAAUUCACAAUCCAACUCUUCUUCUUCCUAGCAAUUUUUUUGUAGCUCUUCUUAUUUGAUCAAUAUUAUUGUCAAUCGGCAAUAGUUCUCCGUCUUGUGAUCAACCACCUUGCAUUCACUACCACAAAAACAAACAAAUUAUGGGGGACACAUAACUACAAAUAAUUAGAUAGGACUUUAAGACAAAUCUGUAGCAGCAACGCUAUAAACUUGAUCACAAAUUUAUUUCUUGCAAGUGCACGAAUCGAUAUGAUAGUAUAGCAAGCAAAUAUGAGUGUCGUACCCACAUAGAUUUGUAAAGUUACCUAAUUAAGUCCAAUGAUGUUGUACCCACAAGAAUAAAAACAACAAAAAUAACUAAACUACAAAAUUCAAAUAAUUAAUCAAAGAGAAGUUGAUUUAAGAUCAAGUAAUCUAAAGUGCAGUAAAAAGAGAGUUUGUAAUUAAUUUUUGAAAACAAUGGUUGAAACACCAGGUAUCCAACUUAGCCAUAUCAAUCCAAUUAUAUGCUAUUAAACAACUUAGAAAAGAAAAUUCAAUUCAGGUUCUAGGUUCUUUCUCUCUUUAUUAUGAUUGUCUUUUAGGUGUCCAGGUGUAACCAAGUACUCUUAAUCAUCAACUUAACCAUGGCGUCUACUCUAGGUCAAUAAUAAAAAAUACAUUAAGUACAAGAAGAACAAAGAGAACCAAAAAGUGUCUUAGCAUGGCAUCUACAUCAACAACAAUUCAUUCAUCCAAGAGAGCUAUCUCAAGGCCAAGCAUAUGGUGUCUACUAUAACCUUGUCUCAUACAUCUAAAUAUUCAUAUUAAAGGUAGCUAAUCAAUAACAUGAACAUAGAAUGAUUUAAGCACAAUGACUAACUAGAAACCUUUGAAUUGAUAAAAGAAUAAAGUUAACUAAGAUAUAGAAUUAUCAUGAAGGCUACGUCGGAUCCCUAGUAAAAAACCCUUGGCAUUUGGCUUUCUCCUUAAGUCAACGGUCUAAAACACUCUGAUGAAGUGAGUCCCCCCCCCCCCAAACGUUGCUGCUUCUUCUACUUUAAAUAAACGUAGAAAAAUAGAAUUUAGGCUAACCUUGUCGCAUUAUUGAAUUUGAGCCCAAAUAGAAGUCCCAAUACCAUUAGACUUUGGUUUCCUUACUCAAACUAAACUCCAAUUACUGUGAGCAAUUAUAAGGGUCUUCUAAUUGAAUUAGACAAGAGUUUGAUGCUUCCUAUCUUCCCAAAAAUUGUCCACAUCUUGAUUUUCCAAAGACAACAACUCGUACUCCACUUAUCCAGAAUCGUGUAGAAUUCUUGAACUGACCUUCUCGCACUAAAACAGGUAUAAUUUCUUCUAGAAACAUCAGAAUCAUGAUCGGUAAAAAUUCUGCCAAAACUAGACAUCUAGAGCUUUCCGUACAUAUGUGGCACAACACCCAGUUUGCCUUGAUGAAUUUCUGACCACCCAAAGAAAUUGACAGUUCUGCCCAACACCUUCCAGCUCUAGAUAUAAUUUCCAAAUAACAGCCAUUAAAUUGUGGAUUGAACAUCCAAUUAGAAUCUGAUGAUCGUUAGAAUCCUUAUUGACUUCAUUUAUUUCUAGCUUUGAUCCUUUUAGCCUUAAAAUCACCAAAAGACUCCAAAGUCUUCUUUAUAGUCCAUUAUCUAUAAAAUACACACUAGACACAUCAAGCCCCCAAUUUCACAAGAAAACAAAGCAUAAAACUUAGGAAAUAGAGGCAAUAUAUAUAUAUAUAUAUAUGUAUGUAUGUAUAAAUAUUGUGUUAUCAUCAAGUUUCGAGCUGGAACUACCAGAUUUUCAUCAUCUUGUUGUAGCUGGUGAUGAGCUGUUGCUGGUAGCAUGUGACACGGGUGAUAACAUUCUCGUGUUCUUCCUCUGCCAGGUAUAGAUUUGUGGCCAUCUUGUUGGAAAUGUGCCCUAAAACCAAUCAUAUGAUGAUACUUUACGGACAUUUCACAUGUUAAACUAAUAUAGUUUAAUUUAAAAGGCAAAGAUUAUUGUUUGAAGCUAUCUCAUAUAAAUGUUAUACACUUAAACGAUAAGUCCAAGGAAUAUGUAAUUGGGAGAAUGCGAUCUAAAGAAGUUAGAUUCAUGAGACCAUUCUCUUUCGUAUACAUAUCCUAAACGUUUCUGAUCAUAGGAUUGCCAAUUGGGCAUUGACUAUCCGUUAAGAUCAAUACGUGUUAUGUCUUCUCUUAGGGAGAGUGACUGGUCUCGAGUCAUUGGUGCGACUGAUACCAAGACAAGUACGUAGGUGCUCAAUAGAGAAUGAGUUCACUGAACGCGAUCAACAAGGAGUUCUCAUACUCAUGUCACAUGAGAACUCAUGGUUGGGAUAAUGCAAAGUAGUCUUUUGACCUGAGGCAUCAUAGUUUUCUUGUGGUUAAGUCCUUGAUCUUUGACUAUGUCAAAGUCACUCCGUCAGAGGGUGUUCACGGCAUAGUUGGGGUUAAGCCACUUAGCCAUGGAGGCAAGUGAAUGCACAACAAGGGAUCUCUAACCUUAAAACCGUUUGAGGGAGAAUACUCUAUGAUAUGAUUAAGAAUCUCUGGCCAGAGUAUGAAUGAGAUAUAGGAAAUCAUUCCAAAUCACAUUCAAGGUAAUCAUAUAAGUAAGAGAAUCACAUUGGAUAGUAGACAUGAAUAAACUAUCAAACUAAACAAUAUGGUCAAGAGUAUUGUAUUAGAGAAAGACCGUAUUGCAUUGUAAUCCUAAACUGAAUAGGUUCUCUACCUCUUCUGAUCAGCUUGGGUAACCAUGACAUACUGCUAGGUGUCACUCAUGGUUUGUGGAAGCCCUAAACGUGUAUAAUCACUAAAAGGAGAAUUGAAAGUAAGUUUCAAUUCACAAUCGAUUUGAAAGAGUUCUAAUCGCCCACUGCCUCGCUAAAAGGAACCUAAUGGAUCGUACACCGUGUAAGGUAGAGAUUGAAGAAACAACGAAGAUGAGUAAGGACAAUUAAAUGGUUUAAUUGUUUAUGGCAAGAAUUAAUUAAUAUGUUAAUUAAUCAAACGAAUAAGUUCGUUUUAAACCUUGAGUUAGUUUUGGGCCUUAAAGCCCAAAUUGGGCUUUGAAUCAUCAAGCCCAUUAGCUUAAGUUGUAUGACAACUUAACAAACAAAAUUCAAGAAGCCCAAAACAGCCCAAAGGCUUGGGAAAACUGGCCAUAUAGAGAAGGGUAGUGAACUUGGUUUAAUUGCAAGUUUGCCACUCCAUUGUGAUGUGGUAUAAAGGCAACUUUAUAGCCAUUUCAUCCUUAGGGUUUCUUUUGGAGAAAAGAUGAGAACACAAGCUCCAUUUUCUCUCUAAGAGGCCGGCCACCCUAGAGGAUUUUAGCAAGCAAUCUUACUUCCUCUAGGUCACUCAUCUCUUCUUCAAGUCAUUCCUUGGUGUGGAGACUUAGAGGUUCUCAACUUUGGGAACUUGGAGAAUCCUUUCAACCAUCUUCAUCCAAGAAAUCCAUGGAGCUAAGAAGCAAGGAAUGAAGGCCCUCUCCUUGGGUGAUUAGCCUUUGCUUAUGCAAAAAGGAAUCAACAAAGGUAUAAAAUUUCUCAACUCACUUUGUUCUUGGGUUGAGUCUUGGUUCACAUAACUACUAGGCUUUGAAUUUCAUGGGUAAUGUUUUGUUUUGAGUGCAUACAAGCAUGAUUCCGCCUUUAAUUGUUAAUUGCAUGCCAUAGAUGUUGCUCAAAUGAACAUGUUUCUCACAAAAUUUCCUUCACAUCUCGUUUAUGUUUUUCUUAGGACUUGGCAGUAAAGUGCUGAUUUUGGGCACGAUGACAUUGAGAGGAAUAAUCGUCUCUUAAACCGAACACCAGGGAGAAAGAAUUUUUGCUGGUUGCUCGUCAUUUGGUUGUGUGAUAGGCCCAUAGAACACUGGGAAACUUGUCUGGCCAAUUUGUCUUGAUUGUCUUAUGGGAGACUUUUUGAGGCAAUCUAAGAUAAUCUGGUAAUCUUAUAUGACACCUCGUCUUGCUUAUUACCCCGUGGGUGUUUAGGCAUGGACAUGUACUUGUGUUGCUUGAUCCAUUACUUCUGGAAAAAUCUCACCAAGUAUUUGCCUAUGAAUCGUGGGCCGUUGUCUGUGAUAAUGGAAUGUUGGGUGCUGAACCGACAAAUGAUGUUCCUCCAGGUAAAUGUCUCUAUGUCCAUCUGGGUAGUUGUCGUCAUGGGUUCAGAUUCAACCCAUUUUGUGAAAUAGUCGUCUGCUACCACUUGUCAUGCCUCUGUCCCCAAUAGUAUGAGCCAUUGGUCCUACAAAGUUAAUCGUCCUCUGCAUGGCUGGCGAAGGGCUUAUCUGCAAAUGAAGUUCGUUGGUAGGUAGUGCCGGCAGUUGCUUGAAGCACUGGCAGCUGUCUUACCUUUGUGUAAGUUCCUCAGUGUCUUAAUACAUGGUCAAUAGCAGUAUCCUGCAUUAAAAGCUUUUUGAGUGGUUUCUAUAAUCACUUUCCUAGAUCAAGCUAAGGACAUUCAGGUUGUUAAGAGGUGUAAGGCAGCAGAGAUGUGGCUCAAUGAAGAAUCUUUAAACAAGCAUGUCAUCCCUCAUGUAGUAGUGUGUUACUUUCGUUUAGAACUUUAUGGACUCUGGCUCAUCUUCGAGGAAUGCUCGAUUGACUAAGUAGUUAAUAAUAGAAUCUUACCAACCCUGGGUUAUGUUAAUUCGUGCCACCUUGACUACUGGUUCUGUUUAUGUGCUUGACUAGAAUAGAGUGUCUGAAUUGGCGUUCAAUGAUCUAUGUCUGCUAGUGUGCCCAUGCGAGCACUUUCUGUUUGUGAAACCUAUAUGAGGGUGUAAGUUGGAACAUCGUGAGCUGUUUUUCACCUUCUCAAGGUAUUGGGCCAUCUUCAGAUGCUUUGUCGUGUGCUCCCCAAAGGCUUGACUAGUGCUUAGCUGAGAAUAUGAAUAGAUCACGAGCUAUUUCAUUGUUAAGUCUUUCACUAAUUGGGGGCUGCUAAUAAAACCUCGUAUUUUUCUCCGCGCUAAAUGUUUUGAAGUCUAGAGGGUCGUAGACAUAAUUGGCGUAGUGGGGAGUUACAAAGCUUGAGUCAGCGUGAUGGAGAGCCACGAAGUAUAAAUCUCACUACUGGGAGCCAUGGUAUAAGAUAGGCAGAAGGGAGCUAUGGAGCUAGGGUUGUGUUACGCGCAGCAGGAGGCGAUGCUCAACUACCAGCAUCAGGCCACUCUAGGGCCAUGUUAUGGAGCAAGGGCUGGCUAAGGCCGUGUGACGUGUAGCAAGAGGUGGUGCUUAACUGCCAGUACUAGGUCAUUUAAAGGCCGAGUUACAUGCAGCAAGAGGCGGUGCUCAACUAUCGGUGCUAGGCUGCUCCUAUGUAGAAUCUUUUGGGGUGAGAGGACAAGUUUACCUAUUAAUAAUCUGAAAAACCUUGGAAGCGACACGUGGACCUUCAGUAAAAAAGACAAGAUUACCCUUAUUAAAUAAGCGGGGCAUCCCAUACACAACUCAGCAUACUAGGACAAGCAGGCAUCAACUACGACUACUCAUAGCUCAUUACACGUGGAAAAAGUCAAAGGUUUUUAAAUGAUAGGAUUAUCCCUAAAUCCUAUCAUUAAUACAUUCCCAAUUGAAGACAAAAUCUAUCAAGUAAGUAAUCCCCGAUCACAUUUAUUCUAGGAUAAUUACCUUUGAUGCCAAGAUAUCCUUUACACAAUAUCUUGGGAAUAUUCUCACCAAAUCAACCCUAAAUGCUGACCACUUCUCCUCUUAAUACCUCAUUUCUCCACCAAAAAUGGUACGCCUUUUCUAUAUACAGAAAAUCCUAAACACUCAUUCUUUCCAGAAAGACCAGCUUAGGCAUCACAAAUCCAUUGGCCAGACCCUCUACUCAUAGUUGGCUCAUGAGCCUUUUGGUCUUUUAUUAAAGAAGUUGAUUGUUUUGCAUGUGCAUUUUCGCAAGACUGAAGACAGGUGGAAUUUGCAGUGGCGGGUAUAGUUUUGGAAAUCAAGAAUUAUUAUGGAAACUACACAUAAUUGUUGUUAUCCAAACCUUUUUCAUCUUAAUAAAAACUAGAAUAAAAAGUUGAGAGAGAUGGAGAUUUGAAAAAGAGGCAACAGGGGCAAAGUAAAGAAAAACAAAGAGCAGAUAGCUUUUCGAAGAGUGGUUUUAUUUUUUAUUUUUUAUUUUUAUUUAGAUUAUGUUCCCAAUCCAUAGGAUAGCUUCCAAGACAAUUGGGCAGCUCAUUACAUUUCACUUCUGCCAUACAUGUGGCAGCAAAUUAGAGUUCAUAAAAUAUUACAAGUUUACCAAUUGGAACAGUUUGUACAUCAAAAUAUAAAGGGGCAAAGUAUUUACUUUAAACAUUCCCUUUUAAUGCUUUGUUGCUUCACUCCCGGAAGUUAUCUUAGGUAUAUGAAUUUGUCCUUUGGUAAAGCCUUGGUGAAGAUAUCAGCAACUUGAUCUUCUGCCCUGCAGUAGACCACAUCCACUUCCUUGUCUUCAACACCACCUCUGAUGUAGUGAUGCUUUAAAGCAAUAUGUUUUGAUUUACUAUGACAUACAAGAUUCUUGCUCACGACAAUAGCUGACUUGUUGUCAUAAAGGAUAGGACUUGCUGAUUCUUGUUCUCACCAAAGUCUUGUAUAACUUUUCUUAGUCACACUGCUUAAGAAGUUACAAUUGAAGCCGACACAUAUUUAGCCUCUGCUAUUGAUAAUGCAACUAAUUUCGGCUUCUUAGAUACCCAAAAGAAUACACCAGUCCCUAUUGUAAAAGUAUAAUGAGAUGUGCUCUUCAGGUCAUAUGCACUGUCUCCCCAAUCACUAUCAUAGAACCCAAAUAAUUUUGGCUCAACAAUCCUUUCAUACAUAAUAACAAUGUAAAGUGUACAUUGUAUGUAACUUAGGAUCCUCUUUGCAGCCCCAUAGUGAAUGUGAGUAGGCUUGUGCAUAAAUCUUUACAACAAGCUUGCAGCAUAUAUGAUAUUGGGUCGAGUUGUUGUCAAAUAAAUCACACUACCAUCUUCUCUUUGAAACUUUUCAUUCACAACUAGAGGUGUUGCAACAGGCUUACAACCAACCAUUUUGAAUUUCUCUAGAAGUGUUUUUGCAAUCUUUUUUAGUAAUAAAGAUACCAUCAUUUGAUUGAAUGAUACCAAUUUCUGAAAAAUAAUGCAACAUGCAUAGUUCACUCAUCUCAUAUUUCUUCAUCAUGUCAUUCUUGAAAGUCAAGAUCAUUCUAUCACUACUUCUAGUAUAAACCAAUUCAUCAACAUGAAGGAAACAAUAAGGAUAACUGAAGUACAAUUAGUUUUGGCUUAAUGAGCACGUUCAUUGUCACUUCUUUGAAAUCCCCUUCAUUUGCACUUCUUAGAGCUUAUUUCAAGCCCUAAAGUGCAUUUUUAAGCUUGUACACCUUGUUCUCUUGUCCUCUAAGCGCAAAUCCUUGAGGUUGAUUAACAAACACAUUUUCUUUUAGGACCCCAUUUAGGAAAGUGGACUUGACAUCAAGUUGGUGCAUGAACCACCCCUUCUGUGCAGCUAUAGAAAUAAAACCUAUGACGGUUUCAUGCCUGCCUACUUGUGCAAAGGUUUCUUGGAAGUCAAUCCCGGGUUUUUGAGAAUAAUCCUUUGUUACCAAUCUAGCUAUGUUCCUCUGAAUGGAACCAUCUUGAUUGAGCUUAGUCGUAUAAAUCCACUUCACUCAUAAGGUCUGUCCAUUAGCUCUCAUGUCUUGUUUUUCACAAUAACAUUGAUCUCUUCUUGCAUUAUAGCCUUCCAUGUCUCUUUUUUCACUGCUUCAUCAAAGUUUUCUAGUUCUACAACAUAUAAAUUGCAACUUUCAUAAACUUCAUUUAAGCUCUUUAACCAGACCAGCAUUGAACUUGACCUAAAAGUGUGGGAGAGUGAACUUGAGGGCUAUUUUCAAUUGACCAUUGCAAGUUUCAAGCUCCAUUUCCUUUUCAUUUAACUGAUUUUCUUCUUUAAUUUUGAUUAGUACAUAUUUUUCUCUGGUAUUAGUUUGAUUCCAAUUCCAAGAAGAUUUCUGACUAAAGAGAACAUCUCUACAGGUCACCACUUUCUCCUUUUUUAAAAUUGUAGAGUCUAUACCUUUUUGUGUGUGAAGUAUAGCCUAUGAAAAUGCAUCGUUCACUUAAUUCAUCAAGUUUUUGUUUUAGCUUUUUCGGAACAUAAGCAAAGCAGAUUGAUCUAAACACUCUCAAGUGAUUCAUGGAAGGUUUUCUUACACUUCAUGCCUCAAACGAUGCCUUGCCUUCAACUUCCAAUGUCGGAUGCCUAUUCAUCAAGUAUACCGCUAUAUUAACUAACUCACCCCAUAGAUAUUGAGGCAUUCCCUUAUCAUGCAACAUUGCUUUAGCCAUUUUAACAAUUGUUCUAUUUUUUUCUCUCAGCUACUCCAUUUUGUUGUGGAUUGUAGCUGACAAUGAGUUGCCUUUCCAAACCAAUAUCUUGAAAAGACUUAUCAAUUUAUGUGGAUGUGUACUCCUUUGUCACUUCUAAGAAUUUUGAUUAGAAUGAAGGAAAAAAUUUUGUCCUAACUAAGAACAUACAAGAACAUUGAACACAUAAGCAUACAUAUAACACUUUAAAGUAGGCAUUGAUUCAAAACAAUUCUAAAAACCAUGACUUUCAAUGCUUAGUGAAUGGUGAACCAUAAGGCUCUUUAACAAAUUAAAGAGAAGAAAAAGUUUGAGUUUCAUUACCCUUGAAGCUCAUCCUUGUUUACACAAAGGAUUUACUCAAGUGGAGGGCCUUCAAGUCACCUUCUUGCUCCUUGGAUAUUUGCUAGUGGAUGGCCAUUCCCUUAUUGUUUAUCCAUCUUAUUUACAUUUCUUCACUUUCAUCCUUACUCAAUGUACAAUCCAUUUGGUUCCAAUUAGUAAGGUUGUGGGCAACUAUUACUCUUAACUAUCGAUUGUGAAUUGAAAUCGCAUAUCAAUUCUCUCUUUGAUGAAGAUCAGUGUUUGCUAAUCUUUAGAGCUUCCACAAACCAUAAGUGAUAACUAGCAGCAUCUCAUAACUACCCAAGCUAAGUAGAAGUGGUUGGAGAACCAAUCCAAUUACAACUACAAUGCAAUACAAUCCUUUCUCUAAUACAAUAGUCUUGAUCACAUUGUUUAUGUAAUAGUUUGUUUUUUGUCUACUAUCCAAUGUGAUACUUCUCUCUGUGAUUCAAUUGAAUAUGAUUUGGAACAUUCUUCCUAAGUCAUAUUUAUAUGCAUUGGCAAAAGACCCUUGAAUCAUAUCUAAGAGUAUUCUCCUUCCACAAUGGAAGGUUAGAGAUCCCUUGUUGUGCAGUCACAUGCCUACAUGACUAGAUAGUUUGACCCCAAUAAUUCCUUGGACACUCUUAAUGGAAUGUCUUAACAUAGUCAAAGGACCUAAUCAUUAGACAAAUAUGAUGCCUCAGGUCAAAGUUUACUUUGCUUAUUGCAACUUAUGAGUUCUUACGUGGCAUAUAUGUUUGCACUCUCUUUUGAUCGUAGUUCAGUGUACUCAAUUACCCUUUUGAGCACCUAUGUGUUUGUCUUAGUGUCCAACAUUAAAUGUCUUGAGACUAGUCAUAUUCAUGCUUGAGUCCAUAUAACACAUACUAACCUUAGAGGAUUGUCAUGCCCAAUCCUAUGGCUAUGAACGUUUUAGAAAUGAACAGAAGAGAAAGGUUUCAUUAAUCUGACUUACUUAGAUCAUUUCUCUCUUAGAUUGAAUGCAUUCCUUUAUUGGUUAGCACAUGAUACAAUAAAUAGUGAUUAAAAAUAAGUUUUGCCCUUCAUUAAACAAAUAAGAGUUUAACAUAAUGAGUAUUUCGAAAGCUAUUACAUCAAUGAGUGGCUUUAUGGGCAUACUUCCAACAAUGUUCUACUUGCACUCAAAGCCACAGUUCCAUAUAUCUAAUACCAAUCUUUUUCAUAUGGCGGUCAAGUUGGACUUGAGACAUUGGCUUCAUUAGUGGCACUACUACAAUAUUAGCUUUAGGUGGCGGAUAUUAGAAAAAUCUUGUCGGAUAAAUUAUAUCCGACACAUCAUUUAAUUAGUGGCUGAUAUUAGAAAAAUCAUGUCGGUUAUAUCCGACAUAAAGUCCUGGUGGAUAUCAAAAAAAUCAUGUCAGUUAUAACCGACGAUAUUUUUUAAAUAUUUUUAACACAUUCUGGCGGUUUUUAAGUUAAUGGUAGCGGUUAUAAUCGACAGAAAUUGACUAUUUUAUUAUUUUACUUUAUGGCGGUUAUUAUUUUAGUAUUCUGGCGGUUAUAACUGACAUAAAUGAAAAUUUUAUUAUUUUAAAAUGUUAUAUUGAUUAAAAGUAAAUAAAUAAACACAUUUUAAAUAUAUUUUUUUCACUCAUGACCCUAAAGUCUAAUGAACCCAAUUCCCACUAGCCAUAAAUUUUCUGAGAGAAAUAAUAACAACAAACUACAAUCUGAAACUCAAUUAUUUUUGUAAUAAUGAUUAUGCUCCCUCACAGGGAAGCAAUAAGAUACAAAGAACUUCAAACAAUUUUUUUUCAAUGCGUCACAAAGAACAUUGUUUGGCACAUAAACACACAUGAACAUCUGGUUUACUCUAUCAUGUCUGAUUUUAUUAUUUUAAAAUGUUAUAUUGAUUAAAAAUAAAUAAAUAAACAUAUGUUUUUAAUUUUUUUUUUCACCAUGGCCCUGUCGGAUAUAACUGACACGAACAAAGUAAAAUUUUGGACGGCCGCCAAAAUAAUCUCUGAAUGUUUAUUUUUUGGUGAUUUUUUACACAUGCUAUCUUGGAGUAUAUACAAACAUAUUUGAUGGUUGAAUCGUUGAAACUAGUUUCGUAGAAUGCAUAUCCUAUCAAAUUGGUAGAUUUAACAAACACUUAAGAGUUAAUGUUAUACUUCCAUUAAAUAUAAAAUAAGAUUUAUCAACUAGUGUAAAUAUUUUAAAUUGAAGAUCGAAUUCAUUCAUUACAUUCUUAUAGGGUCAACGAGUGUAGCUGUAAAAAAAUCAUCAAAAUCAGAGCUAAAAUAACCGUUAAAUUAUGAUUUUUCGUUUAUAACCAUAAAAAACUGUUGUACCAUUACCUAAUCUCUGAAUGUGUACAAACAAGUUUGACGGUUGGAUCGUUGAAAAACGUUUCGUAGAAUGCGUAUCGCAUCAAAAUGGUAGAUUAAACAAACAUUUAAGAGUUAAUGUUAUACUUCCCCAUGAAGUAUAAAAUAAGAUUUUGUGGUAUCCACUAGUGUAAAUAUUUUAAAUUGAAGAUCGAAUUUGUUGAAUGUAUUCUUAUAGGGUCGAGGAGUGUAGCUGUAAAAAAAUCAUCGAAAUCGGAGCUAAAAUAAUCGUUAAAUUGUGAUUUUUCGUUUAUAACCAUCGAAAACUUUUGUUCCGUUAUGUAAUCUCUGAAUGUUUGUUUUUUGUGAUUUUUUACGUAUGCAAUCUCGAAGUGUGUACAAACAAGGUUGAUAGUUGGAUCAUUGAAAACGCUUCGUAGAAUGCGUAUCGCAUCAAAAUGGUAGAUUAAACAAACACUUAGAGUUAAUGUUAUACUUCCCCAUCAAGUAUAAAAUAAGAUUUUGUGGUGUCCGCUAGUGUAAAUAUUUUAAAUUGAAGAUUGAAUUCAUUCAUUGCAUUCUCAUAGGGUCAAUGAGAGUAGCUGUAAAAAAAAUCAUCAAAAUCGAAGCUAAAAUAACCGUUAAAUUGUGAUUUUUCGUUUAUAACCAUCAAAAACUUUUGUUCAGUUACCUAAUCUGAAUGUUUUUCUUUUGCGAUUUUUUACUUAUGCCAUCUCGGAGUGUGUACAAACAAGCUUGACAGUUGGAUGGUUGAAAAACGUUUCGUAGAAUGCAAAUCGCAUCAAAAUGAUAGAUUAAACAAACACUUAGAGUUAAUGUUAUACUUUCCCAUCAAGUAUAAAAUAAGAUUUUAUGGUAUCCACUAGUGUAAUAUUUUAAAUUGAAGAUUGCAUUCGUUCAAUGUAUUCUUAUAGGGUCGAGGAGUGUAGUUGUAAAAAAAUCAACAUCAGAGCUAAAAUAAUUGUUAAAUUGUGAUUUUUCAUUUAUAACCGUCGAAAACUUUUGUUCCGUUACGUAAUCUUUGAAUGUUUGUUUUUUAAGAUUUUUUUCGUAUGCAAUCUCAGAGUGUGUACAAAUAAGUUUGACGGUUGGAUCAUUGAAAAAAGUUUCGUAGAAUGCAUAUCGCGUCAAAACAAUAGAUUAAACAAACACUUAGAGUUAAUAUUACACUUCCAUUAAGUAUAAAAUAAGAUUUUGUGGUAUCUACUAGUGUAAAUGUUUUAAAUUGAAGAUCGAAUUUGUUCAUUGCAUUCGUAUAGGGUCGAGGAGUGUAGUUGUAAAAAAAAUCCAUCACAACUGGAGCUAAAUAACUGUUAAAUUUUGAAGUGGGAAAAGUAAUUUGUGCUAAAUUUUUAUUUAUGUUUUUCAAGAUUGAUUAGACAAUAUUUGUGUGACGAAAUUUUUAUUGUACAAUUAUCUUUUUGUUUCUGUAUCGCAUAUUUUACAUGGGUUUUUAUCUAUUAAGCCAAACAAUUAUUUAUUUAAUUUUUAAAAAGUAUUAUAUUUAAAUACAUAUUAUUUAUUUAUUUAUUAAACCAAACAAUUCUUAUUUUAUUUUUUUAAAUCGUAACAAAAAAUUUUUUGGGGGGCGGGAUUUAAAAUUUUGGGAGGAUUUUUGCCACCAUUUUUUUUUGUCUGUUGUAACUAACAGUAAUGAAAAUUUUAUGUCAGUUUUUAUUUAAAAAAAUGUUUAUGUUGGUUUUAAUCGAUAGUAAUGAAAAUUUUCCAAAAUAAAACCCCUCCAUCUCACAUCACAUGGCCUCUAUGGGUUUGGGGUCGAAGUAUCAACAAGCAAAAGCACAGCCACAGCGACAGCCAGACCACAGUGAGCCACUGAACCAAGUGACUCGCCAAGCCCCCCAAAUGGACUCCUACAAGGUACUCUCUCUUUCUCCUCACUUUCUCACACAUUUCUCAGCCACCUCUUUGAGCUCUGCUCCUCUUAGAGGUUUGCUUCAUCCGCGUAAAGGUAGGGUUUUGGUGCUCAGAUCGCCCUUGAUCCCCCUCAACUCUUCACUUUCGUCACUAAUUCUAGUCGAUCUGCAACUUUCUGCGUCUUUUGAGGUUUUACGCACCUCGCUGGAGUUUCUCUCCAGCCAGAUUUUGUGCUUUUUUUUUUCAAUUUUUUUGUUUAAUUUUGGUAUUUCUUCUAUUAUUUCUGUAGUUAUAAUAAUUUUUUAUAAAUUAUGUUUUCCUGAAUGAAGUGGAGCUGCUUUAGGACAAUUAGGAGAAAAAAUUAUAGAAGAUGUGGGAUUGGGUUAAAUUAUAAUUGCAUUUAUAAGCUUGUUAAGUUACUUAAUAUGGAAAUUAAAGCUUAGUUGAGUUAAGUUUAGAAGUUCUUAUUGCUCGAACUUUCCCACUCAGCAGCCAAUUUGAGCAAUUGGGAUUUGUUGUUUUUGAAUUGUUUCCUUUUGUGCAAAUUCAUAUUUUGGGGUAUCACCCGUAAAGGGCUUACUAGUUUCAAUUGCAUUUAGGCAGGGUGAAUCCUUAGCAAGCACUAGCCUGCCAGUCAUAUUUUUUCAAAGCAAGCCUGAAGUUUGUGCUUGUGUUUGAACUUUUGUGUUUCUGUAAAUUGCAAGAAAUGUCAACUCCUGUUAUGGAGGGAAAUGAUGCAGUCACCGGUCACAUUAUUUCAACAACAAUAGGUGGUAAAAAUGGCGAACCCAAGCGGGUUAAUACUGGUUCUUUCUUCCAUCCUUUACCCCUUUUGAUCCAUUUGAUGGCUAAAACUAUGAUCAAACCUUUCUUCAUCCCAUUUAAUUCCUUUUAUAACACAAAAAAGCUGUGCAGUUUUCUCAUUCAUAAUCAAGGAUUACAUGACAUGAGAGAGGAUAAAUUCCAUGUGAACACUAUUUUUGGUCAAUUUUUUAUUUCAUGUUCAUCAAAAAGAAGUUCUAACAGUUGAGGCUCUUUGUGAACAUUAUAAUUUUUCAGUUUCCAUUUAUUUUUGUAUUCUUAAGUGUUCCUUUUGUUUUUAAUUACAGAUGAUCAGUUAUAUGGCAAAACGUGUUGUAGGUACUGGAUCAUUUGGAAGCGUUUUUCAGGUAUAUAUUUACUUUAAUGACAGCUAAGCACUCUCACAUUCUAAUCAUUAUUUCAAGCAGAAGGGGAAAAGAAUGCUCAACGAGAAGAAGGGAGAAUGCUCUCAUGUCUUUUUUUAUUUUUUUUAUUAUUAAUAUAUUUGCUGUCGAUUUUAUCCAACAAAGAAUGCUUUACUUAUUCAUUAUUAAUAUUUCCUGUCGAUUAUAGCCGACACAAGUUCUGUCGGUUAUUUGUAUUUUCUGUCAGUUUUAGAGUAUUUUAUGUUGGUUUUAUCCGACAAAAAAUACUCUUAUUUAUUCAUUAUUAAUAUAUUCUCUGUCGGUUAUAUUCGACACAAGUUCUGUCGAUUUUAGAGUAUUUUUUGUCGGAAAAUUCAUUUUCUGACGCUGGCAAAUCUGUCGGUUAUUAUAUCCGCCACUGCAUCCAUUUUCUAUCAGAUUUUGCAUAAUAUCCAACAGUAAUUUAUGUUUCUUGUCGGUUUUUGGACCGCCAGCAAUAGAUAAUUUUGUAGUAGUGUGGAUCUGCUACAUUAUAGUAGAGGCAACCUUGAGAAAUAGUUCCAAACCACAUAACACCCUCGGGAUUAGAUUGAGGCAUUCACUUUGCGAAUUGAAACAAUCCGGACGGAUGUGGUAUAACUGUUUGAGUAGGUACCUGAUUGGUCAAGGAGAUAUGAAUUAAAAAAUAUGUCUUUGCGUGUUUAUAAAGAAGUCACAUUCCAGACCCGUGAUAGUAGCAAUUUAUGUUAAUGACAUGAAUCUUAUUGGGAUUAACGAAAAGCUUGAGAAAAACAUCGCUGGGUUUAGUGAUUUAUCCGACAGCCUUACUGGGAGCUCCAGAUCGAAUAAUUGGUCCUCAUAUUCCAUCUUUUUACUUUUCUUAUAAUAAGUUUUGACCUACACCCUGAGUAGAGAUGUAUGCUUUAUAUAGGUAGUGGAGUCAUGUGUACUCAUGGGAUGACAUUUUUUUUUAGUAAUGAAAAUUUUUCAUUUCAUCCAAAUAAAUCAAGAUCUAAGUAGUUGUUCAGUAAACUAUUAUGCUUCUCACCCCAACACAUCUAUUCGAUCGAAGCCAACCAUUGAACCUUCAAAAACAAGAUAGGGUGCUUCUGCCUUCUCUUCUCAAGGAGAAUCACCCUGAUAGGAGCAUUUGUAGAGGCAUAAAGGGAUAUGCUAUAAAAAAGUCAAGGAUAAACUUGUAUUGCAGAAGCAGUCCUAUCACCUGAAGUCCAAAUUUGAGAUGAAAGAUCUUGGAAAUAAUUGAGCAUUUCGGCCUUGAGAUCGAGCAUCAUUUUGACGGUAAUUUGGUACACUAGUCGAACUACACCUAGAAGGUGUUGGGUCACUUUAAUCAGGAUAUGCAAAGCCUUCAAGCACUUCUAUGGUCGUUUGAAUGUUGGAUGCAAAACGAGACAUUUUCCAUCAUAAAUAUAAUAAGGAAGAGGGUUUGGAGUCUGAAACUCCAUAUAUGACUGAGGCUUUCUUGUACAAAACUUAACGCAAUUCACCGUUAAUCCUUUGGUAAGAUAUAGCAAUGCAUCAAUAGGCCAGCACUGGAAUGGUGUUAAGAAAUCCUUUGUUACCUUAAAGAUAUUAUUAGAUUUGGGCUUAUUCUAUCCUUCUGAAUCUCAGAAUAGAUCAUAUCCCUUGGUCUUUAAAAUGAUAUUUUACUUGUUGGUUAUACUAACGCAGGUUAUUUAUCUGACCCACACAAGGCACAUUGUCAAAGGUUAUGUCUUUACCGUUAGACACCGCAAUAACGUGUAGUUCAACCAAACAAAACUUAGUUAAGACUUUUUUGAACCAAGCUAAAGUUAUUGCCUUUCAGGAAGUUACAAGUGAAUUCUUUUGGAUGAGAGUAGUUAUUGAGCAUAUUCAAAGCAUUUGUGACUUUUUUCCAUCUUUGAUAUUCUAACAACGAUUUAUGAAGAUAACAUUGCUUGUAAUGACCAUAUAAAUAAAUGAUACAUCAAAGGAGAUGACAAAAAACAUAUUGCGCCGAAAUUAUUUAUCUUACAUCAGUAGCAAGAGCAUCAGAUGAUUGAAGUGAAGCAAAUCCAAUCCCAAUGCAACCUUGUUGACCUAUUCACGCAAUCACUACCAAAGUCUACUUUUCAAAAGCUUGUUCAAGGAAUUUGUAUGCAUAAAUUGUCUGAUUUGCAAUGUUUGUAGUUCUCAUUUGGGAUUUGUCAAACUUAGGAGAAUAUCCUAAAGUAUACUCAUUUUACCUUAAUGUUCUCUUUUACCAACAAUCAAGGUUUGGGUUUUUGUUGCCUGUCAAGGUUUUCAUAAGGCACUUACCCUGGGUUUGUCAUAUCCUUGUGUGCGUUUUCUUACAUCCCAACAAUGUUAGUUUUGACUUGUUUCAUUGACUCACUUUCUCUUUAGACUAUGGGUUUUUUGUCACACCCAAGGAAUUAAAUAUCGAUAUUAUCGGUGAUAUUUCGCCGAUAAUAUCGUUUUUUUAGAGGACGAUAUUUUCACACUUAUUCACUUAAUUAUCGUCAAUAUAUCGAUUUUUUGUCGAUAUUAUCAGCAUUUUAAUACAUUAUUUAGGUAAUAUAUUGCGAUAUUAUCGAUAAUAUCGAUAAUAUUGCGAGAUGAACUUGUAGUACAUUGGAAAUAAGAAAUUAAUGAGCAAAGAAGAGAUCGAUGCGCUUUACCCUUGUGCGUCAGCAAACCGUGAUGGCUAAAAUAGAUGAGCUGGGCUUAGGUCUGAUGGUUGUGUUUAAGUUUAAGGUUUGAAAUAGAUGUGAGAGAGGGUGGAGAUAAAUGAGACUUAUUUCGGUUUCUAUAAAGAGAGAGAGAGAGAGAGAGUUUUGAUUUUCUUGGGAGACAUCAGAAAUGAAGAAGGGUUUCAGAAAUAAGUGGCCUUUCAAUUGGAAUCCUAGGAGCUCCUAUUCCUGAUGCAUGACACGUGUGGGCAUCCUAAGCCUUCGUGCUACCCGAGGAGCAACGUCUGAAUUAGAGAUAAGGGGAGCUCUGGGCUCGAGGUCAUAAAGCUGAAGUGAGAGUGGGGGUAGCUGCUAAGGUUUCAAAUGUCAAAUGAAGCUAUUACACUAGCUUAUAUUAUAGCUGUUGCAAUGAAUUGAUGCAAGUGUGGCCUUGUGCGUGUUGGUCAGUGUGUCUUCAUUAGUUUUCAUGUCACGAGUUCGAUACUCCAUGGCGGUUGUUUUGUGUUUCUUUUUCAUUCUUUUUCCAGAUUAUAUUUUUCUCGCGAUUUAUUUUUAAAUUUUGGACUUGUUGGAUACUCUUUUUGCAUUUUAUCAUUAUUUUAUUAUCUUAUCCAUGAAUUUCAUACAAGUAUAAUUUUUUGUAAGUAUCAAUAUGCAUUUAUUUAUAAGAUAUAUAAGAAAUUUACCUAAAUCCGCCUAGACACCGUCUAGCCGCCUAGGCGCCAGCCCGCCGCCCGACUAACGCCUAACGUUUUUUAGAACCUUGGCAUAGAGGGAUUCGAACCCCUCCCUUUGUCAACCACACACCUGGGCCUUAUCCAACUCGCUACAGAUGUGUUUGUGAUUACAUAUUCAGCCUGUAAUAUUUAUAUGGUUGUUAAGAUGUCUGCAAGGCUUGCAAGCUAAUAUUUAUUAUCUAUGAUAAAUUUCUAUAUUUAAAAAAACACCACCUGGGCCUUAUCCAACUCGCUACAGAUGUGUUUGUGAUUACAUAUUCAGUCUGUAAUAUUUAUAUGGUCGUUAAGAUGUCUGCAAGGCUUGCAAGCUAAUAUUUAUUAUCUAGGAUAAAUUUCUAUAUUUAAAAAAAAACAUCAAGGGGAUUCAAACCCCUCCCAUUUUACUCCUUCAACACCUUGACCACCAUAUCACUUAUGUCUUUGUGAAAAUAUGCUAAAAUAUUUAUAUAUAUGGUUUUCUUUUGAAUUCUUUUUGCAAGAAACAAAUUUGCACAUGACAAUGAAUCUUUGACAAUUUCUUUUCAAGUAUCUACUUUUGAACUACUCUUCACAAUACACUUACUCUACAUAUAGAGAUGAUGAAGAUAGUGAAAAUUUUGAACCUCAUAGGAACUCUAUGUGGUACUAAGUCACUCAUGUAUCUUAUCAUGCAAUGUAUAAAGUGUAAAAUAUUAUACUAAUUCAUUAUAAAUGAAUGAUUAUGGUGUGUUUAAACUUCUUUCAUUAAUUACUACAUAUUUUCUACACUCACAAUGUUUGCCAGCUCGCUAUAUAAUCAACUUAAACCAGUUAAAUCCAUUAUGCAAUGUAUUUCCUUCCAAUUUUUUGUGAUAAACUAAUAGAUAAUUGACUAAAUAAACAUCCUGCAAAGUUUCAAUAAAAAUUUCCAAGUUUUUCUUACAAUUUCCGUGGUUUUUAUUCAAUUUUUAUCAAUAUCGAUAAUAUCCCGAUAUUUCCAUCAAAAUUUCCGUGUUUUUGGAUUACCGAUAUUUCCGAUAAUUUAGACCUUGGUCACACCUUGGAUUUUACCAAAGCAAGGUUUUGUGAGGUUAAAUCUUAUAUGCAUUUUCCAUAUUUAAGGCUCGCAUUCACUUUGUGCCGACUAGACGAGAUAACAUCAACCACUUCUAUAUCAUCCAUGAAGAUUUGAUGUGUCAUUUACUUGAGUAUUUUACAUGCAUAAGGGGGAGUGUUGUUGUUAAAAUUAUAGCACACAAGUGAUUGUGUAAAUCCUAAUAGAUUGUGUUUAGGAAUCCUAUGUAAUAAUGUAAUCUAGAAGAUCUUAGGCUUUCUUACUUGUAGGGCAAGUAAGCCCAUUAUGUCUACAAUAAAUGAAAACACAAAGUAGGAGUAAAUAACACACAUAGAAUUUUCCACCUCUCUUUUCUCUCUUUUCGACCACACCACUCUCUCUCCUUUUCAGUUAAAUUUAGGCCUACAACACUUUUAGCUUUUGGUUAACAAUUUUUUUGUUGUUCUUUCCUGAAAACAUAAAACAGUUACCAAGCAAGUUUUUAGUUUUUGAAAUUCUAAAAGAAAAAAAAAUUGUUAUCAAAUGGCCCCAAAAUCAAGCAAUAUUUUAAAAACUCAUAACGUAGCUUUCAAAUUUUUUGUUUUUCGUUUUCAUAUUUUUCAAAACAGUUACCAAAUAUGUUUUUAGUUUGAAAAAAUAAAGUAAAAACAAGAAUUAAAAAUUGAAAACGAAAUGAUUAUAUCAAACAGCCCAUAAGCCUCGUAAGUUUGUUGAGACUAAAUGACAUCCAUCUACCUAGCUUUUAACAAGCUACUGAUUGCAAUACACAAUAGUGAACAUGCAGUUGAGUGAUUAGCGAUUACCACUAACAUUCUAGCCAUAGUUGAUUUCAAACACAUAAAUGUACUCAAAGCAGUAAUGCACCAUUUAGUAUUAUGGUCUGGUGGUAUUCUUCUUCACUUGUAAAUGAGAGGUCUUAGAUUUGAUUAUUAGCAAAAACGAAUUUGAGCCACAUUAUUGCUAACUCAUUGCAAAGCUAAGCUCACCACUUCACCCUUAGAGUAGUUCCACUGUGGGUUAAUCUCCUCACCUCCCCCCCUCCCAAGCGGCCGCCCAAAAAAGGGCUUCAGCGUAUCAAGUUCACUAGGCUCCAGGGGAUCCCAAUUUCUCUCCUAGGCAUAAAUCGAUAGGCCUAGCACCUGGCUUAUGUUAUACAAUGCUGACGUCACUGUGCUUAUGUUAUACAAUGCUGAUGUCAUAGUGACGUCAGCAGAAAUUAAAAAUACAAAAAUUAUAAAUAAAAAAAAGUUAAUUAAAAAUACAAUAAAAAUAUUAAUACAUAACCAUGUUAUUCCACUUUACACCACAUUUCAAUAUUUUCAAAUACUUUCAACCAAUCUUUUAUUAUUAUCCAAAAUUAAAAAUAAAAUUAUUUUUACCAUUUAUAAAUAAUAAAAAAUUAUAUAUAUAUAUAUAUAUAUAUAUAUAUAUAUAUAAUUAAUACAAAUUGUCUAGGUUAUUCAGUGGUGAAAAUGCACUUGAGCAGUUACCGUUCAUUACAGGCAAUUAUUGUUCACUAAGGGGAUUGUGUUGCCUAUAGCCCAAGGGGCCUUACUACACUGAAAAUGCUCUUAGGGUAGAUAAUAUCGUUUGUUCAAUAAAAUAAAAUAAAUAAAAUAAAAAGACAAACAAACAAAACAAAAACAAGCGGCAAUGCUGUUGAGGACAGCGCAAAUCAGUAAAGUAAAAAUCUGCUGCCCAUCGGGUUGCACCACCGAAAGAGAGCAACUAUGAAAGACAACAACAACAACAACAACAAAGCCUUUUCCCACUAAGUGGGGUCGGCUAUAUGAAUCCUAGAACGCCAUUGCGCUCGGUUUUGUGUCAUGUCAUCCGUUAGAUCCAAGUACUCUAAGUCUUUUCUUAGGGUCUCUUCCAAAGUUUUCCUAGGUCUUCCUCUACCCUUUCGGCCCUGAACCUCUGUCCCGUGGUCACAUCUUCGAACUGGAGCGUCAGUAGGCCUUCUUUGCACAUGUCCAAACCACCGUAACCGAUUUUCUCUCUUCUUUCCUUCAAUUUCGGCUACUCCUACUUUAUCUCGGAUAUCCUCAUUCCUAAUCUUAUCCUUUCUCGUGUGCCCACACAUCCAACGAAGCAUCCUCAUCUCCACUACAGCUACGUGUUGAUGCUUCACCGCCCAACAUUCUAUGCCAUACAGCAUUGCUGGCCUUAUUACCGUCUUAUAAAAUUUUCCGUUGAGCUUCAGUGGCCUACGACGGUCACACAACACGCCGGAUGCACUCUUCCACUUCAUCCAUCCAGCUUGUAUUCUAUGGGUGAGAUCUCCAUCAAAUUCUCCGUUCUUUUGCAAGAUAGAUCCUAGGUAGCGAAAACGUUCGCUCUUUGGUAUUUCCUGAUCUCCGAUCCUCACCCCUAACUCAUUUUGGCCUCCGUUUGCACUGAACUUGCACUCCAUAUAUUCUGUCUUUGAUCGGCUUAGGCGAGGACCUUUAGAUUCCAACACUUCUCUCUAAAGGUUAAGCUUCGUGUUUACCCCUUCCUGCGUUUCAUCUAUCAACACUAUAUCGUUUGCGAAAAGCAUACACCAAAGAAUAUCAUCUUAAAUAUUAAGUUUGUGAUCUUCGCUAGAUUGCUCCGGUCAUUAGUGUGGAUAAGUAUGUAAAUGGAUAGAGACAGGAAGCAAACACAAGAUGUACGUGGUUCACCCAGAUUGGCUACGUCCACGGAGUAAAGGAGUUCUCAUUAAUUGUGAAGGGUUUACACAGUAUAUAGGUUCAAGCUCUCCUUUAGUGAGUACAAGUGAAUGAUUUAGUACAAAUGACAUUAGGAAAUAUUGUGGAAGAAUGAUCUCGUAAUCACGAAACUUUUAAGUACCGAAGUAUGGUAUCAUCUUCACUUGCCUUAUCUGUCUCAUAGGUAGAUGUGGCAUCUUCUUUGGAAGUACUCUUCCUCCCUCCAGGGGUGGUAUCUUUAACUGGUGGAGAUGCACAAGGUAAUGUAUCAAUUUCACUUGACGCUUACUUGUAGUUUCAGGCUUGGUCAAACGCGAUACAAACCAUGUAGUAGGAGUCCCCCAAGUCGCCGAGCUAGGGGAUCUGCUGAAAGAGGUGACAGACAAGGUAAGCAAUCAGAGCUCCAAGCAAUCAGUCCCAGAUCAGAAGUUUUGAUUUCGAGUUCCGGCUGAUUGUUAUCCUUCUCCUUAUCUUGCAGGUAGAAUGAAGGAUAAAGAGAAGAAAAGGUGAUAUGAGAUACUUUUGCUUUUGAAGAAGUAACUUUCCACAGGCUUAUUCUUGAACUGGGCUGGAGGGUUUUCUUGUUUCCACCAGAGUAUAAGGCCGACUGAAGAAUUUGAGGGUCAAAACAAGUCCAUCAAAUCUAGAGUACGUUCGACCCUGCUGAUAUGGGAUACUUUUGCUGUUGACAAAGUAGUGGAUGUAUCGGCAUGUGUUCUGUUGCGCUUGUCUCCACAUGCUUCCUUGUAUCCUUCUCACUUGCCCUAUUUGUUCCUCAGGCAGAUGUGGUAUCUUCUCGGGAAGCAUAAGAUGUUGAAGAUGAGUACUCGAGAGCAAUGGGGUUCCAGGCAGUCAGUUCCGGACUGGAAGCUUGACUCCAAGUGCUGAUUGAUUGCUCUCUUUCUCCUUGUCUUGCAGGUAAGAACAAGGCCAAAGGAAAAGACAGGAAAAAAAGCAUGAUAUGGGAUACUCUUGCUUUUAACCCUGAUGAUAUGAGAUAUUCUUGCUCUAGUGUAGCUUGUUUGCAGAGGUAUUCUCGGGGGGAAAGAAAGCUGAGUAUUUCGAGAGGCUUCGUUGGGAAUGCCCUCUCAGAUAUGAGGAAGGGUUGAGCAUUUUUGCAGGUCUGCCUGUCCGUUGAGGAUGGAGGUCGACAUAUAUAAGAGUCUCAUUAACAAGGAGUAAUACUAUUCUUUUACCCUGCUUGGUCAUAGCACAGUAGUGGGAGCUGCCAGCUUCGUGUUUUAACUCUGUCAUAGCACUUUGAAAAAGUGGUUUGUGGUAUCUGGAAAGCUGAUGUUACGUGUGAAGAUUACAGACAAGCUUUAUCCAAGGAGAUCUGGCUCUCGAAGUUGAGAAAGCGGUGUGAGGAUUACAGACAAGCUUUAUCUAAGGGGCUCUCGAAGUUGAGAAAGCGGUGCCUCUUCGGUUUUCGAACAAGCAAUCCUGUCGGGGAUCUGUCUCUCGAGAUUCGGAGAACGGUGCCUCUUCGAUUUUUGAGAAAGCAAUCCUGCUAGGAGUCUGGCUCUCGAGAUUCGGAGAGCGGUGUCUCGUCGUUUUUUGAGAAAGUAAUCGUGUUGGGAGUUUGGCUCUCGAGAUUCGAAGGACGGUGCCUCUUCGAUCUUGAAGCAAGCAAUCUUGUUGGGAGUGUUUUCUCGAAUGUGAGUAAAGGUUAGGUCUGUUUGCUAGUCUACCUUGCCACGGAGCACAGAGGUUGACCCACAGGGACUUUCCAAUUAUCCAGCAAUGGUCCUGUUCCUUUACCCUUGUGGGUAAUAAUAUGGUAGCUAUACCUUCAAAAUUUAUGUGUCUAAACUUUGUUAGUGCUGUUUCUUUGCUAUUCUUUUACCCUUCUUGGUCAUAGCGAUGUAAUGGGAGCUACAAGCUUCACGUGUCUAAACUUUGUCAGAGAUUUUUGGCAAAGUUAUCUGUGGUACCCGUGAGCUGAUUUUGCGUGUGGAAAGUGAAUGAUUGAACAGUAACAUUCACGUGCUUUCUACUUCACUAGAAAUCUUCGACAGAAUGCCCGUAAUUUCCGCAAAGUUGAGUGUGCAUGUGACAGGUGCUGACAAGGUUGAAAAAGCAGGUGCCUCUUCGAUUUUUGAGAUCGACCCUCGUGGUCUCUGAGCAGCCUAGCUUUUGAGAAAGCAAGCGUCUUUUCGAUUUCUACGAUCGACCUUCGUGGUCUUUAAGCAGCCCAGCUUUUGAGAAAGCAAACGCCUCUUCGAUUCCUGGGAUCGGCCCUCGUGGUCUCUGAGCAGCCCAGCUUUUGAGAAAGCAAACGCCUUUUCGAUUUCUAAGCAGGCGCCUCUUCGAUUUCUGAAGCUCCAUCGAGUGCGGAUUUUUAUAGAGGUUGGUAUUAAGUUCCAAAGCACACUUGAAUAUUCACCAGUAGAAGCUCCCUUCUUGCAUUUCUAAGAUCUUGAUUUGUCCGACUUCUUUUCUCUUCAACACCUUUGAAAAUGUUUGGCCCCUCCGACCGUCGUUUUGACUUGAACCUUGUUGAAGAGGCAACCACGCCUUCUCCAGACAACAUAUAGCGCCUAUCCUUCGUAUCCCCUACUGGUCCUCUUACCGUUAGGGAUUCCGUGAUGAAGAAUGAUAUGACCGCUGCGGUGGUGGCCAGAAACCUUCUCACUCCCAAAGAUAACAGACUAAUUUCCAAACGGUCUGAUGAGUUGGCUGUUAAGGAUUCUCUGGCUCUCAGUGUUCAAUGUGCAGGUUCUGUGUCUAAUAUGGCCCAACGCUUAUUUGCUCAAACCCGCCAAGUUGAAUCAUUGGCGGCUGAAGUGAUGAGUCUCAAACAGGAGAUUAGAGGGCUCAAGCAUGAGAAUAAACAGUUGCACCGGCUCGCUCAUGACUAUGCUACAAACAUGAAGGGGAAGCUUGACCAGAUGAAGGAAUCUGAUGGUCAGAUUUUACAUGAUCAUCAGAGGUUUGUGGGUUUGUUCCAAAGGCAUUUAUUGCCUUUGUCUUUUGGGGCUGUACCGCGUAAUGAAGCUCCAAAUGAUCAACCUCCGAUGCCUCCUCCUUCUAGGGUGUUGUCCAGUACUGAGGCUCCGAAUGAUCCCCUUCCGGUGCCUUCUCUUUCUGGGGCUCUGCCGACUGCUGAGACUUCUCCUAAGCAACCUUUGUGAAGGCUCCCUCUUGUUUGUUUAUUUUGACUCGUGUAUAUGUACAUAUUUGUAACUUCUUAGAGAUAUCAAUAAAUAAGCUUUGUUUCAUUUCAACGUAUUGUGUUAAAUACACCAAAGCCUUCUUCACUAAGUUCUUUGAAUUUUUCUUUUGUUGAAGCUUAUAUGUUGAAGCUUAUAUGUUGAAGCUUUGUGAGUGGAGCAUGUAGGUUGAGGUAGUGUUCCUUUAAUUUCCCGGGUGGGGAAAACUUCUCGAUUUGAGACUUGAAAAAUCCAAGUCACUGAGUCAGGUCGGUUAUAUGAAUCUUAGAACGCCAUUGUGCUUGAUCCUGUGUCAUGUCCUCCGUUAGAUCCAAGUACUCUAAGUCUUUUCUUAGAGUCUCUUCCAAAGUUUUUCUAGGUCUUCCUCUACCCCUUCGGCCCUGAACCUCUGUCCCGUAGUCGCAUCUUCUAACCGGAGCGUCAGUAGGCCUUCUUUGCACAUGUCCAAACCACCGUAACCGAUUUUCUCUCAGUUUUCCUUCAAUUUCGGCUACUCCUACUUUACCUCGGAUAUCCUCAUUCCUAAUCUUAUCCUUUCUCGUGUGCCCACACAUCCAACGAAGCAUCAUCAUCUCCGCUACACCCAUUUUGUGUACGUGUUGGUGCUUCACCGCCCAACAUUCUGUGCCAUACAACAUCGCCGGCCUUAUUGCCAUCCUAUAAAAUUUUCCCUUAAGCUUCAGUGGCAUACGACGAUCACACAACACGCUGGAUGCACUCUUCCACUUCAUCCAUCCAGCUUGUAUUCUAUGGUUGAGAUCUCCAUCUAAUUCUCCGUUCUUUUGCAAGAUAGAUCCUAGGUAGCGAAAAUGAUCGCUCUUUGGUAUUUCCUGAUCUCCGAUCCUCACCCCUAACUCAUUUUGGCCUCCAUUUGCACUGAACUUGCACUCCAUAUAUUCUGUCUUUGAUCAGCUUAGGCGAAGACCUUUAGAUUCCAACACUUCUCUCCAAAGGUUAAGCUUCGCAAUUACACCUUCCUGAGUUUCAUCUAUCAACACUAUAUCGUCUGCGAAAAGCAUACACCAAGAAAUAUCAUCUUGAAUAUGUCCUGUUAACUCAUCCAUUACCAACGCAAAAAGGUAAGGACUUAAGGAUGAGCCUUGAUGUAAUCCUACAGUUAUGGGGAAGCUUUCGGUUUGUCCUUCAUGAGUUCUUACGGCAGUCUUUGCUCCUUCAUACAUAUCCUUUAUAGCUUGGAUAUAUGCUACUCGUACUCCUUUCUUCUCUAAAAUCCUCCAAAGAAUGUCUCUUGGGACCAUGAAAGAUAACCAAACAUAAACAACGACAGCAAUGCACAAAGGAAGAACAAUCAUGAAUCAAUAGGGCUUCCCAACCAAAUCAAGGACGUAUGCCUAGCCGAGUCGAAUCACCAAAAAAGAAUCACCCACUAAACCAACAAAAGCAGGAGCCUGAACAACAAGAAAGACACUGGGAAGCCACCAGGAAUAUCACACACCAGAAUACCAGGAAUAGCACACACCAGAAUACCAUGUGAUCACAAAUAGAAGGAGAUUCCACUCCGAACAAAUGUUCAAAGAUUAGCAAGAUGAGACAGCUUGAAGCUGUAAAUGAUGCAAUAUAAUUAGUUGGGAAAUAUAACUUUAUGCUGCCUACUGUGAAUCAUAUACAAGAACCACUUAAAUCAAACUAUAGAAGUUUGUAAAUGAAACAUAUAUAUAUAUAUAUAUAUAUAUAUAUAUAUAUAUAUAUAUAUAUAUAUAUAUAUAUAUAUAUAUAUAUAUAUAUAUAUUAUAACUUUAUCUUUUCCUAAGGCACACGGGAUGACUAAUAAAGUUUAGUAUACCUGAUGUCGACUUGCAAUCAAAAAGUCACAAGAGAAUUUUCAAAAAUGGCUUCCAAGUCUUCCUCCUCAUGUCCACAGCUGAAGUAGUUAUCUUCCAACUCUUCACUGCCUACAUUAUCAUCAUCAUCAUCUGACUCUUUCAUCACCACCACCGGAGAACCAAUCUCUUCACCAAUCAUUUCUCUUUUAGCAGUAACUGUUGUGCCUUGGCCCGUUUAUCAAUGCGGAAACGAGAUUCAGAUUACAACCUCACCAAAUCACACUCAGUUGAACAGAAUAAAAUACAAGAAAUAAAGACACCGAGAAAUUUACGAGGUUCGAUAAAAACCUGCCUACGUCCUCCGAGAGAUGUUGCUCUUCACUAUGAGAAUAACUAGUACAAGAUACACUUGAGUUAAAUCGACAUAACCCAAACCCCAAUCCCUUUGUACCCUCAUAGAAUUUUACUAAGAGACUCACUCUCCCUAAGAGUUUCUCACUCUCACUCUAUAUUUUUCUACCACCCGUUCUCAUCCGAAUGCACUCUCAAUAUAAGGUCACUCAUACUCAUAUUUUAUUCCCAACAUCAUGAUGUCUUGAAUAAUCAUUAAAGAAAAAACACCACCUUUUCUCUUUUCUUACAAUGAUGAUGUCUUUACUCAUGAUUAUGUCUUUACAUGAUGAUGUCCACUUCUUUAUUUAGUUUACAAGCCGAAAGGCAUUUGGAUUGUGGUAGUCACCAUGUCUUCAAUUGUUGUCAACACAUGACUUAUAAUUACUCACAAAUGUAUGAGCCAAACACAACAAUCUCCACCUUGGCGAAUACACCAUGCAAAAAUCCUUGCACCCAUCACCAAGGCUCAUUGGCCUUACGUAUCAGCAUACACACCCUGAAUCAACCUCGUUGGUCCUGUUCAGAUUCAGUUACUGCCAAUGCAUGUGUAGCUGCUGUAAGCUAAAAAUCACAAUUUAGCUUCAGACAGGAUCUCAACACAUCCUCGUCUCCUCCAGCAGGUUUUUCUCCUCUUCAUUGUCUGCAACUUGGAAACUCGUCAGCGUGCCCGUUUCCAGCAACACCCGUCGAGCCAGACAAAAUUACCACACUUCCUUUCCUCAGGACCAUCUGAUCACCUGUGAAUCCUAUAGCUCCACCUACUGCAAAACCCCUGCAACACUUUAGACUAUACAUCACCAGGAGAAGUGUUGCUUCGAGUACCUAGAGGGCAUACUCGAAGUCUUCCACCACAAAAUUGCUACAACCCGGACCAAGAUCAUCCUUUCUUUUUCUCAAAGGACAAUUUUUCCUUUUAUGCCCGAAUUAUUUGCAGUUGUAGCAUUGUAGACCCUUGCCUCCGGAACCGGAUUUGAACCUGUUGUCUCUCUCAGAUCCUUCUCCCAAUUUUCUUCCACGAUUCCAACCUUGAACAGCUAAAGUAGUCUCGUGCCCACCAUCAACAAUGGUCUUCUUCUUUUGUGUAUCAUAAGACACCAAAGAAGCCUGCACCUGCUCCAAACUUACUGUAUCUUUUCCAUGCAGUAAGGUUGUCACAAGAUUUUCACACGAAUCUGGAAGUGAGGUAAGAAGUAAGAGGGCUUUUGUCUUCUUCCUCAACCUUAACAUCAACUUUCCGCAAUUGAUCCAAGUAUCCGUUGAACUCAUUCAUGUGGUCCAUGAGAUUCCCGCCUUCAUCCAUCUUUAGCUUGUACAGCUUCCGCUUCAGAUGUAACUUGUUGGUCAAACUCUUAGCAAUAUAGAGUUUUUCCAACUUCUCCCAGAGUGCAGGCGCAGAAUCUUCAUCCAUAGCAUUAUUGAUAAUGUUGUCAGCUAUACAGUGUCGAAUUGUGCUAACACAACGCGACUCCAGCUCCUCCCACUGGUCAUCUGUCAUUUCUUUAGGCUUCCCAUCUUUUCCCUUCAAAGCUCUAGCCAAGCCUUGUUGAGUCAAGACAUCCUUUACUCUCAUCUACCAGAGAGUAAAACUACCUUUCCCAUUAAACUUCUCAACUGAAAAUGACAUGUUUGUAGUCAUCAUGGUGAAUAACAAAUCUGAACCGUCAAUGAACCAAAGCUUCCAACAAAGCUCUGAUACCAAUUGUUGUGCCUUGGCCCGUUUAUCAGUGCGGAAACGAGAUUCAGAUUACAACCUCACCAAAUCACACUCAGUUGAACAGAAUAAAAUACAAGAAAUAAAGACACCGAGAAAUUUACGAGGUUCGGCAAAAACCUGCCUACGUCCUCCGAGAGAUGUUGCUCUUCACUAUGAGAAUAACUAGUACAAGAUACACUUGAGUUAAAUCGACAUAACCCAAACCCCAAUCCCUUUGUACCCUCACAUAAUUUUACUAAGAGACUCACUCUCCCCAAGAGUUUCUCACUCUCACUCUAUAUUUUUCUACCACCCGUUCUCAUCCGAAUGCACUCUCAAUAUAAGGUCACUCACACUCAUAUUUUAUUCCCAACAUCAUGAUGUCUUGAAUAAUCAUUAAAGAAAAAGCACCACCUUUUCUCUUUUCUUACAAUGAUGAUGUCUUUACUCAUGAUUAUGUCUUUACAUGAUGAUGUCCACUUCUUAGUUUAGUUUACAAGCCGAAAGGCAUUUGGAUUGUGGUAGUCACCAUGUUUUCAAUUGUUGUCAACACAUGACUCAUAAUUACUCACAAAUGUAUGAGCCAAACACAACAGUAACUUCAUGGACCAAUACCUCCAUAGAUAUUGAGAUAUUCUUUGGCAUUACAAGGUGUGCACCGAAGCUUUUAACACACAAAGAACUGUUGAAAGGAAGUUGAAAACUAACUCGACACUGUGAAGGUGGCUGUGGACACGUAGACUCGUCAAGCUCCUUCAUCAUUUCACAGAAUGGAAUGUAGUACAACCAAACAUGAUCUGACUUAAAUAUUGUUAAACCUAAAUCAGACUUAAUUGUGUGAAUGCAUUUCUCAUUGGCGUGGAAUUCAGCUAUGAAGUAAGGAAAACUUUUAAAGUUGCUGCACUAAGGAUAAGGUUCAUCUUGUGUUUUUUCAACAGCAGCAAAGAGAGCCAAUCCUUUGUUCUCCCAUUUGAAAUUUUCAGGAAUUUCAAAAUAAAAUUCAUAAUAUCUUCCAAGCUCCUCCAAAUCCUUAUGACAGCUGAAUCACUUUGGAAUUUCAUUUCCUGGAAAUACGACCUGGAAUUUAGAUUGUUGAGAAGACAUCAGAAGGAAAUCAGAGAAGGGGGGAAGCCUGAUCAUUCACUGAUUUAUUUUUCAUCUUUUCCCCGUCACGAGCCAAAUUGUCAAACAGUCUCCGGCAAUUGGACAAGUCCAUCCAAGAAAUCAUCUGUAACUCUUUAGGUUCCAUUAUGUUUGACAAUUUCGAAAACCCUUCUAAUGAUACGCAACCACUCGCAUCUAGCCACCCUACUUUUGGUGGAAGUUCUGGAAUUUCCUCAAGCCUUUUGCAGCCAUGCAAGUAAAGUAUCCUCAAGCUAAUAUAUCUGGUAAUGCUUACCGGAAAAAUAACAAAAUUACUUCCUGAUAGAUCAAGUCUGAAUAAGGUAGACACACCGUCAAGAGUACCAAGGAAAUUAAUUUCUGAUAAAUUGCCUCCUUUCAUAUCAAACUCCUCCAGUUUUGAAAGCAAUAAAGAGCCACAGUUGCUAAGUAAACUGUUUGCGUUCGUUGGAAGCAGCAAAGGAUCAGGUUCUGCAGUCGAUGAUUAUUCAAAUGUCGCCUUACUUGGAAAUGUGACUAGAUUUGGGCAUCCAUGAAGAUAAACAACCUUUAGAUGCUGCAACUCAUAAAUACUGAAUGGCAGAGUAGUAAGGUUUUCACAUCCGAGUAAAAGUAAAGUUUGAAGACCAGUGAGAUAUCCAAUUGAUGAAGGCAAUUCUUUGAUGGCAGUGCGAGAUACAUCCAUCCAUGUUAAAGAUCCCAUCUUUCCAGCAAUUUCAGGGAAAUGCUCAAGCUUUCCACAAUCACUAAGGUAGAUAGACUCGAGACAUUUCAAGCUAAUACUUCUUGGAAAUAAUGUAAGGUUACGACAUCCUUUAAGAUUCAAGCGACUGAGCUUUUGAAGGAAUCCAACCGAAUGAUCAACCUCAACCAAACUUGUACAGCCUUCAAGAUUCAAGAUUUCUAAGUUCGGAAUCCCAGAGAAGUUUGGGGUUUUUGUUAGGAACAUGCAGCUCUACAGAUUUAUGGAUUUUAGAUUUUGUAACCUCUGUCAGCCAAAAAAAGAGAGGAAAAAGUACGAUCAAAUGAUAAUCUAUUUAAGAAACAUAACCCAUAAUUUAAAAAAAAAAAAUAAGAUACCAUCAGAUGAAAAUAAUUUAAAGUACCUUCAACCCCUCUCCAAGUUGCAACAAGCGACUACGAGGCAUAUUGAGUUCAACAAGUUUUCUUGGAUUGAAGGUGGAUGGCAAAGCUUGUAACGGACAUUCAGGCCAAUCAAGUAACCUCAACUCAUUAGAGAGAUAAGCAACAUGGUCUCCAGAAAAGCGUGCAUUACGUAUGAAAAGAAGUUGGAGAUUUUUCAUCUCUGAAAAGCUUUUAGCACUCAAGCAUAUCUCAUCAUCUGGUUCAACCAAAUUUACCAUGAUCCCUUUGAUUUUGUUUGUUCCCUAUAGUAUGUAAACGCAAUAGUGUUAUUAACAAACAAGUUUUGUACGAUGUAGAAAUAGUAACAUAAAGUGAUGCGCGUGAAGUUGAAUAAAAUAAUACUAGGUAAAUAUCUAUAGCAUAUUGCUUACCGUUUUUUCUGUUAAAACGCAGUAAACAUCCUCGUGAAACCAUAAUCUGCUACGUUCACCAAGCUCAGUUGGCAACUCUUGACUAAUGAUUUCUUUACCCAUCUCUUCUAACAAGUCAUGCAUCCAAAUAUUAUUUCCUUUAAUAUUUAUCAUAGCCUUGUCUGUGAGUACUUCAAUGCUGUACUUCGGGUUUAGGUCACAACCCUCAAGUAUGGGUAUGACAUUAUUCUGAUUUUUCCCUUUAAAGAAACAUGCAAUGUGAAGGAAAACCUCUUUCACCGAAUCUUCUAGUGCAUUGUAACUUAUUUUGAGAAUUUCUUGAAUGUCUUGGUUAGGAAUUCUUUUGUAACCAUCUAAUGCAGCUUUCAUUUGAUCUGUACUUCUAUUCUACCACAAAGAUGUGAGUCUAAAACAAUCAAAACUAAUGGAAGGCCUUUAGCAUAGCAUACUACCGAUUUUGCUAAAUUUACAUAAUCAUCAUUUAAAUGUCUAGUCCGUGUGAAGUCAUUCCAACUCAUGAAGAGGUCAAGAGCUUCAUGACAAUCUAACUCUUUGACCUUGUAUAUUAGCUUAAUUUGAUGAGCAUUUAGCAAAUAUUUAUCUCUUGUUGUUAUGAUAAUUCUACUUCCAGAACCAAACCAAUCACACCCUCCAACUACCUUGUUUAGUUGGUCCAAUUGAUUGGCAUCGUCAAGAAUUAGGAGAACCUCUUAUGACUCAACUUUUUCUUGAUCACAUUGAUUCCUUUAUCGACAUUGGUCAACUUUAAUUCCGUCACCCCUAGAAUUUCAUAAAGAAGGUAAUUUUGGAGUUUGACUAGGCCUCCAUAUUGCAUUGAUUUUUCUCUAACACUUUCCAAGAAACAACUUCCUUCGAACUCAUGGGCAGUUAAAUUAUAAACAGCUUUAGCAAUUGUAGUCUUUCCUAUCCCUCCGAUCCCCCAUAUUCUUAUCAUGCGAACAUCAUUUGCUCCAACAUUCAAAAGUUUAUAUGUAUCACGAACACAUAACUCUAUUCCAACUGGGUAUUUCGCCACAUUCAGAUAGGUACUAUCUAAAACUUGGACCGAAAUCUCUUCAACAAAGUUUUGAAUAAAUUUAGAUUCAUGCCUACAAGUUCAAAAGCAUAAAAGGGAACACGAAUAAUAUAAAUGAAUGGCAUUUAGCUGUGUGUUGAUAAACUUUAUAGGCUCAACAUAAUCCAGCACCAACAUCGCCGAUAUUGUUCCAACUUAACCUCCUAUUACUGAUGAAAUUAAGGUUCCACCAUAAAACCAAUUGGCAAUAUAGAGAGUAGCCCAUCAUAUAAGUACAUAGCAAACAUUGCCCCUCACCGAUGUGGGACAACUUUCAACACACCCCCGCACGUGUGGCGGAUUUUCAAGCAUACACGUGGACAACAACUGGGUGAUGUGGAGCGCGUGUGGCCGUUGGGUUUUACACGUGGACAACCUUGCUUUGAUACCAUGAUAAAAUUAAGGUUCCACCAUAAAAUCAAUUGGCAAUAUGGGGAGUAGCCCAAGAUCAAAUAAGCUCAUAGCAAACCUUGUAUCUCACCGAUGUGAGACAACUCUCAACAAUUACUAGGUGUUGAGCUUUAUCACAAAAUGUCUUGAUGAUACUGAGGGUGAAAACUGUCAUAUAGUAAUUGUAUAUUAUUUUAUCAUAUGACAGAUGUGAGAUUUUAUUCUCCAACAUGUGUUUGAUAGAAAAAGUUAGAUAUAUAUAAACAAAAACAUACAGAAGCAGAAGAUUACUUGAAUUUUGCUAGACUAAAAAGAAACCAUCUCAUUCUGUCUUACUCUAGUUGUCUUUAACAUUAUAGCUCGACUAAUACCUAAAUUAUAGCCCAAUACUACUUGUACUAAUACAAUAAUAAUUUUGUGAGCAAGCUAGCUACCAGAGACUAGGUUUUUUUAUUAAAAUUUUUUUUAUAAAUGCUUCACAUAAUAAUAACGAAUACAGCACAACAAGUUUUCCUAUAAUAAUUGUGAGUGAAUAAUACCAAAAUAUUAUAUAUUCAUGUUAUGCUUGUGAAUUGAAGCAAAUAUUGAGCUUAUCUUACAUUUGAAUGUUAGGUUUGCAAGUAUAUAGAGGUCAGAAAAAUACCCGUCGACCGUGAAUGACCACCCGGACAAAUUUGCUGCUUUUGUAAGAGCUUUUCUCAAUCUCAACACCUUGUCCAUGUUAUCUUUGAAUUUGAGUUCAUGGUCAGCAAGUGCCUUACCGAAACUCUCUCUUUGGUUUCUCACAUCUGAUGGAUUCACCUUGUAAAAAAUUGGAAAAACCAUCUGCUGCUGUUGUUCUUUACAGUGAAGGAUGUGAACGAGUUCAUCUAAGCACCAUUUUGAGGAAGCGUAGUUUUCUGAGAAGACAAUAAUUGAAAUCCUCGAUUCCUCAAUUGCUUUGAGAAGCGCUGACGAUGUUUCCUCUCCUCUUUUAAGCGCCUCAUCAUCUAUGAAAGUUUUGAUUCCCCUUUGAACCAAAUUAUUGUACAAAUGACCUAUAAAAUUGUUGCGGGUAUCCUCACCUCUAAAACUGAGGAAGACAUCAUAUUUCUAUGAAUGGGUGUAAGAAGAAGAGGACGAGGCUCCUUCAUUGGUUGUUGAACUUGAAUCUAUGAUAUUUGAUUACUAAAAAGGAUGAGAUGCUGAGAGAUUAAAUGCUAAUGAACAUGUCAAAGACUGAUCUAUCUCUUGUGUUAUAUUAAGGCCUCUUUUCUUGGCAUCACAUAUGUGAAGAGUUGAAUAUCAGAGUGCGUAAUGAAUAAGACGAAUAAGAAUAAUAAGAAUAUUAUUAAUAAAUGAGAAUGCCGAAACAGCUACAAAACCCUAAGAGGCUACAUUGUGACUAACUUAUUAUUCUACGAGCUACAAAGCACCAUAUAUAUAGAGAACUAACCUAACCCUAAUAAGCAAGAAAACGAAACCCUAAUACUAAUGGGCUAAGCCCAAAUUCAAAUAACAAAAUAAUCCUAAAUUCCAACAACCCCCGUCAAACUCAUAGCGGUAUACGUCAUGAGUUUGCCAACAACCAGAUGCGGAUGCAAGCUCCGUUACGCAGACAAGACAAGGCAAGUUCCGUUAGGCGAACACGACAUGGGAAGCUCCGUUAGGCGAACAUGACAAGGCAAGCUCCAUUAGGCAGACAUGACAAGACAAGCUCCGUUAGGCGGACAUGACAAGGCAAGCGGGUGAGUAAUCAAGCGAGCGAAAGUAUUCCAAGUGGUGCAAGUGCAAGAUUCCAAUUCCAAUGCCAGUGCGAACUUUCAAUCAAACAAACUUCAGUUCACCAGCACACAACGUCACUUGAGUGGUCACCAAUUCAAGUACUCGAGUAAUCGUUGCAACAACAAGCUUCAACAGCAGGUUAUUUCCAUGAUAUCCGUGUGGGCCUCAAAGACAUCAAACCAAAAAAUGGGCAGUAAACAGCCUAGAACCCAUUUUUCCUCUCUGCUCAUGUGGGCCAAAACUUCUAACAAUUUUUUUAUAUUUUUUUUUUCAUUUCUUUUUUUUUUCCUUUUUUCCCCUAAUAUAGAAGCAGCAGCGGUGUAAUCCGUGGAGAUGGAGAUGGGUGCAUGUUGGUGGACAAUCUGGAUCUGGUACGAUACGAUGACUAUGGGCGCGGUGGACAACAGCGGCAGGCUUGGUGACUGGGUGCACGAGCAACGGUAGUGCACAGAUGGGUUUCUCAGCAAUGGUCGAUGGAUCAGGCGAUUCGGAUUCAGUUAGAUGUGGCGGCGAGUACUGGUAUGGUGGGUUCAUGCAAGCUGGGUUCAACAGGAAGGCCUAAGGUAGAGACGAACUUGAUCCGAGUUUGUGAUUCUCGAGUCAGAGCUUCAUCAAAACCGUCUUCAAACAAAUUCUUUUUCUACACUCUUUUCUUUACUUUUUCUGCAACCUAAGCCAAUGACAACUGAGAACAGAACAACAAACAAACGGACAAGACAAACAAAUUGAUAGUGAACAGAAGCAGAUUAAAUCCCGAAUAAUAAAACGUGCUCUGAUACCAAGUUGAAUAUUAGAGUGCGCAACGAACAAGACGAACAAGAAUAAUAAGAAUAUUAUUAAUAAGCGAGAAUGCUGAAACAACAACAAAACCCUAAAAGGCUACAUUGUGACUAACUUAUUAUUCUACGAACUACAAAGCACCAUAUACAUAGAGAACUAACCUAACCCUAAUAAGCAAGAAAAUAAAAUCCUAAUACUAAUGGGCUAAGCCCAAAUUCAAAUAACAAAAUAAUCCUAAAUUCUAACACGAAGCAGUUUCCUUGCCAUCUUCCAUGUUGAUGUGAAGUCAAGGAAAUAUAAGAUGACGAAAGAAAGAGGACAAAAAAGGAAUAAAAUUACGAAAAGCACUUUCCUUGCAAAUUGCAAUUUCAAGGGGGUGACCGAUGAGUAAUAAACUAUUAAACUUGGUAGUUUGGAAGUUCGGGAGUUUGAAAUAUCAAAAAUAAGACAAAGUUGGGGGCUGAUUAUAAAGAUGACUCAACUUCAGGGCCGGCCCAGGUCCGGUGCGAGCAGGACGACCGUCCUGGCCUCAGAAAAUCAAGGGCAUAAAAAAUAUUAGCAUACUUUUAUAUGAGUUUAUGUUUACAGUAAACAGUUUGAUUAAUUAUCAAAUUAUUUCUUUAGUAGCAUUGGUAUUUGCUACAUUUAUUAUUUAUGAUUAUUUAUGAGAUUGUGGGUUUGAUUCCUAGCUAGUAAUGUCUCUUCUUUUAUAUUUUUUUUUCUAAAUUAUUUAACAGACACAUAAGCAUUUUUUGUUCUAAGGGCACCAAACUAUUAUAUAUAUUAAAAACAGAAAGAAAAAAAAAUAGUAAAUAAACAGUGCCUCAUUUCUAAAAAGUUUUAAAUUCAAACUUUCUUUCUCUAUCUCAUUAGUGAUUCAACACCAAAUUUUUUUCAUGAAGCAUCAAAUUAACAUUUAAGCUCAAAACCUUGUCAUCUUGAUUUUUGGAACUGCGCUGCUGCCAAAAGGUGUUAGUGUGUUUUGUAUUCGAAUUAGGCUUUGAUUUUAUAAAUUGAAAACUGAAAAUCGAUGAAAAAUGAAAUUAGUUGAUCAAUUAAGAUGAGAUACGUUGCUCCUUUUAGAUUUGAGUACUUAGCAAAUAGGAAUGAGCAAGAUAACCGUUGCAAACCCACUCACACUUACAACAUGACUCAACUCACGUGCACAACUUAAGACACACAUAUACUAUAACAGCUGUAAUUUAUAUAGCCUAUGAGCUAGUUCUAGUCUUAGCUGGGUCAUCACAAACAAUAACAUAAGAACAAAUAAAUCCAUAAAUUCAACAUUUAAAUUGAGUGUAAUAUGCACAAAUGCUUAUAUCUUUUGUCCAAAUCUAGGGUUUUGAGUGUUAGAAGGUGAUCUCUCAAUCUAUAGCUCUUCAAUUUAUUUUAUUUUGAAUUUAAUCUUGGGAUCGUUUAUGUAUUCAAUUGUGCUCUCCAGAUCCCAUAAGUUUCCUCCCCUUUGGCUGUAAUCCUUUUUUAGUCCACAUAUAUUUUAUCAUCAUCAAUAAAAUUAAUUAGUUUGUAAAAAGAAUUUCUGUUCAUCAAUCUAUAAAGGGCACCAUUUGAAAUUUCACCCUUUGAAAACUCAGGACGGGGCCUGCUCAACGUGAUUUCAUGAUUUCAACAAUACAUUUUUGAAGAUCCAUUUUAAAAGAUCUUGAAGAAGGAAAAAAAUUGUGAAAGCCAUUUGGUUUUUAUAUAUCAUAACCACUUCACUAUUUAGACCAAUUUUUUUUUAAAUUUAUUAUUAUUAUUAUUAUUAAGGGGAGGUGGAAGGAUUCGAAAUUAUUACAAUAACUAAAGAUGCAUGGGUGGAAACUCAACAUCCUUUUCACUAGAAUAUUCAACUACAUGUUAAUGAACAAUUAUAAUUAGGUGGCUAAUUCACUUUUUAUUUUGGGUGGUUUUACAUAAAGACAAACUUUGAUGUAGGCCUAAUACGUAGUAUUACGAUAUAGCUAAUGGUAUUUCUUUUCACUUGUAAGUAAAAAGUCUCAAGUUUGAUUUCCGUAGAUAGUGAGUUUGAUAUAACAUUAUUACAUUCAAUUGUGUGGCUUAGUGCAAUUUGAUUUUGAUCAUAACCUAUUUGGUGUCUUUAAUGAAGGAUUAUAAUUUUUUAAUACAAGUGAUAUUACUACUUUUAAUUUACACAAGGGUUGGAGAGGAGGAGAGUUGAAGAGGGAAAUCCUAACCACCAGUUACAACAAUUGUAAUUAAGUGAUACUUUAUUUUCAAUAUAGACCUUUUUUUAUAAUAGAAAAUUAGAUAUGAACUCACAAAGCAUUGACAUGUUUUAGGAAAAACCCUCAAAUCAAAUUUAAAACUUUGACCAUUCUCCAUCCCCAUCCCCAUCGAGGAACAAGUUCCCCACCCUGCCCCAUUACCAAAAAUUAUAAUUAAAAUAUUUUUUAUGACAUAAACUUAGACUAUUAAGAAAAAUUAAUAACUAUAAGAAUAAUCAUAAUAGCAAAUUUGAUCACCAAAAAGAGCUUAAUCAAGUCCACAAAACAUUUUUUUAAUAUGAAAAAGUUGCAAGCAAGCCACAUUUAUUAUUUUUUUAUAACAUAUAUAAUUCUGAAUAUCAUUUAUAUACAAGAUUAAUAUGUAUUCCAAACACCAUACCAGUCUCUAUCUCCGGUUUUUAUCCUGGAUGCCUAACUUAGCAGAGCAAAGCCCCACAGACACCCAAAACUUUUGGGGAAAAUUACCAUCCCGAACAUAUACGUAUUUUCUAUGCGUGCGCUUUUGAUAGAAACAAGUAGCCACAAUGGUUGGUUUCAAUCGAUUUUAUCCCUCGUCAUAUCCAUCACAUAAGGUUUGUGGUAUCUCUUUUCUACUUGUCAGUUUUGCUUAUUUCAGAGGAUGCUAUUGAAGAGGAUGUUUUUUUAUGUGGAUGACACUUUUCCAAUGGUAGAAAACAAUUAUGUCUAUGCACUCUAGUGCAGAUUCAAUCUUCACCGAUGACCCUCCCUUUUACCAUUAAGAAUUUAACACACACACUAACACUAUUGUUUGUAAUAAAAAAAAUUAUGUUUUUUAUUUUUCAUUUUUCUUCAAAUGAGACCUGAUAAACUUUGACUCUCAUUUCACUUUAGUAUCCAAAAUUUUAUUUGUACCAAUUUAGUACCUCAAUUUAUUUUUGUGUCUCAUAAAUGGUUAGUACUAUCUUAAUUAAAUAUUGAGGCUUAACAGAAUAGUUCCGUCAGUUAAUUUUUAUUUUCUUAUACUUUAAAAUUUAAGGAAACAAAUAAAUCCUAAAGGGGCUAUCAUUGUCAUUAAAAACUGUUAAAAGUCUGAGUACAUUAAUUAAAUUUUUUAGUUUAUGAAGAACUUAUUCCCUCAAUUUCAAUUGUCAGAACAAGAACCAUUAAUCGGUGCAAACAAAAAAAAAAAGACAUUAAAUCGAUACAUGCUACAGUUUACAAAAACAAAAUUAAUUUGAAGAAAAACAUAGGACUCAUUCUUCAUGGCCAGAUGAGAGGCGUUAAAAUUAAACUAAACAAAGUAAAGGUACAUUAUUUAUAUGCAAGAGUACGACCAAAAACAUGUUUAUAUAUGCAUAUCAUUAGGUGUCACCAAGGCACAAAGCGAUCCAUAAGCAAACGCACAGUGUCUUCUGAAAGCGACGAAGAGUCCAAGUCCCUCUGUAUCUGAACCAUCCUGCUGCUCUCCUUUCUUGCUUCCUUAAACUCUUUUUGUUCUUGUUGUUGUUGUUCGACUUCAUCCCCGUCUCCUUGUUUGGCUUUCGAUGACAACAACAAUCGCUUCUUAGCCCCUACCCUUUCUUUCAGCUUACCCAGCUCGCUCAUCCAGACCUCUACCACUGCAGCCAUAAUUUUGAAACUACUUGAAUGCCUGAAAUAUGGUGUGUAGUUUUCUCUAUUGGUUUUUUGGUUUAUCAAAGCUAAUGAGGAGAGCUGGUUACCAUGCCUCAAGGGUUUAUAUAGAAGAAGAAAAAGCCGUGGCCUUCCUGUGGUUCGGAAGAAAAAUCAGUGUGUACCGCCACGGCCGUUGGAUACACGGUCGCACACAGGAUAUAAAUUUAGGGAUAUUCGAGGGGAGAGAGAGAAAGAGAGAGAGAGCACACAGGAUAUAAAAUUAGAGAUAUUCUAGGAGAGAGAGAGAGAGAGAGAGAGAGAGAGGAGACGUGGGGUAUAGGGAUUCCAGUGAAUGUAAAGCGUCCCCGUGGCGCACGCAACUUGCUUGUUUAGAUUGUGGGCGACUAGGCAAUUGGUAUAUUAGUAUUCAUCUUUGUUCUAAAUAUUUCCACUUAACACCGCCUAAGAGGUUGGUCAUCGCCCUAAUUAAUACUUAGGUAUUUAAAAAUUAAGAAAUGAAAUCUAGACUUAUUGAGGUGCACGCCUAGCCCUCCCAGACCUGUCUAGACACCCACCUAGAUCCAACUUACUUAGACGGAAAAUAGAUAACUUUCAUUUUACAUUUGAUUUUUUUAAUAAAUUGUAAAAAACUUGUUGCAUACUUAAAUGAACACUCAUUAUAUCAUUGUUCCCCAUGUUUUCAUUAUGUUCCAAAACUUCAUAAUAUAUAUGUCAUUCUAUUUUAUAGUUUAUGAUGAAAUUAUAUAUAUUUUAAGUAUAAGCAGACAUUUAUUUAUACGAAAUAUGAUAAAUUUACUGAAUUUCGUCUAGUCCGUCUUGCCUAGCCGCUUAGGCGCUAGGCCACAGCCAGCCGCCUGACUUGCAUCUAACGCUUUUUGGAACCUUACUAUUCACCAAUAAGAUUCCUUUACAUAUUUCAUAUUUGGUUUUAUGUGGAUUUUACAAUGGUACUGUUAUUGGCACUCUAAACGUUACUCUACACUUCUCUUUAUAUAAAUAUUUGUUCGUUUUUAUAAAUUUAGAGUAAAUGAUGAAUAUUUCAUGGUGGCAAUAAAGUCUUUCUAAAAAUAGUUUAUUAAACCUGAAAUAGGGGGGUAAUCACACGGCAGAAAGUUAACAUUCUAGGCUAAUAAGAAGUUAAGCUUCUAUGUCUAUUGUCAACCGGUUCUCUAGUGAAACUUCCGAGUUAUUCCAUAUGUGAAACCAACGGACAAUAUGCGCUCUGCGUGUAAUGAUAUGUGUACCACAAGUGUGGUGAACAAAAUUUGGAUUGCCUGCUAAUCAGUGUCCUUACUAUUUUUAUCCACACGGACAAAACAUGCUUCUUUUUGUAUUUUUGCUGGAACAAACAAAAUAUUCUUUCCCCUUUACACACAGUGUAUUCUGUGGUCCGUAACUAACGAAAUAAUACUUCUCUUAAUAAAAUUACUGUAUCUGAAAUGACUAUUAUAGCCUUUUAUGUUAAGGGUAUUUUGUGGUCCAUAACUACCAAAAUAAUGAUUCUCUUAAAAAAAUUAGUGUAUAUGCAAAAUAAAAAAAUUUGUAAUAUCAUAUGAGUACUUUUUUUUUUAAUUUGUCAUAUAAUUAAAAGUUUAAGCGAUUUGUCAUAUUAACUUUUAAAAAUUAUUUAUUUGUCAUUUCACCGUAACUAAGGACGGACGCACUCUAAGACCACCAUAGGCAAAGGCCUACCCUCACUACGGAUCUCCCUAACUAACUUUCUAAAUAAUUAUGUAUUAUACUUUUUUUGGAUAAAUUUAAUAUUAUACUUCUUUUAGUUUAUACAAAACUCUUAGGAUCUGCUUGGUACUCUACUUGAACCCAACUUUUUAAACUCAAAAACAAAUUUUAAGUUUUAGGCCUUAAAAACUUGUUUGGUAUGACCAUUUUUGAAAACUGAACUCAAGACUAACUCAAAAAUAUAGUCUAUUCUCUAAAAACAUAAAAAUUGAGUUUUUAAAAUUUAAAUUCACUCAUUUCUUUUCUCUCCCUCCUCCCCUCUUACUUAAAAUCUAUCUCUCUCUUUUCUUCUUUCUAUCUCCCCUUCUCUCUUUUUUUUUUUUUUUUUACCUUUUUCGUCUCUCAUCCAAUCCCUUCAUUCUCUCGGUUCUUUCUCUCACUCAUCUUCCUCUCUAUCUCCUCUGAUCCUCUCUCUUCUUUCUCUUUCCUCCAAUCAUGUCUUACUGUCUCCUCUCUCCUCUCUCCUCUUUCUCCCUCGACCCCCUCUUUUUGGAUCUCUUUGUCCAGUUUAUAUUGUAAAAUUUAAAGGCUUGUUUGGUAUCCUAUUUGAAAAUUUUUAUAAUUUCUCAAAACAUUUCUUAAAAAUUUUUCUUGAAAACAAUUUUCUUUAAGACUCAAAAACUUGGUUGGUAUGUGAUUUAAAAUUUUUAAAUCUUACAACUAAAAUUGGACAAAAGAUCCAUAAAAAGGGGGUCGAGAGAGAAAGAGGAGAGAGGAGGAAAGAAAGUAAGAGAUGAUUGGAGGAAAGAGAAAUAAGUGAGAAGAUCGGAGGAGAUAGAGAGGAAAAUGAGUAAGAGAAAGAAUCGAGAGAAUGAAGAGAGCGGAUUGGAGGAGAAACGAAAAACGUUAAAAAAAAGGGGGGGGAGAGAGAAAGAAGAAAAGAGAGAUAGAUUUGGAGUGAGAGGGGAGGAAGGAGAUAAAAGAAAGGAGUGAGUUUAAAUUUAAAAACUCUAAAAGCUCACUUUUUGUGUUUUUAGAUAAUAAACUAUAUUUUUUUAGUUAGUCUUGAGUUCAGUUUUUGAAAAUAGUCUUACCAAACAAAUUUUUAAGGCCUAAAACUUAAAAAUUGUUUUUGAGUUUAAAAAUUUGGAUUCAAGUAGAAUAUCAAACAGGCUCUAAAAAUUUUAAAUCGUAUAUCAAACUAGUUUUUAAGUCUUAAAUAAAAUUGUUUUCAAGAAAAGUUCUUAAGAAAUGUUUUGAGAAAUGAUAAAAAAUUUCAAAUAGGAUACCAAACAAACCCUUAGUUUCUAUUCACUAAUAGUUAAAAUACGAGGUCUUUUUUUCUUUUUAAGCCCAAUAACACUCAUCCUAAAAAUAAAUUUACAAUCUUUUUUUAAAAACAAAUCAAUAACUCUUAAAAUUAAAAUCUAAAGUCUAAUUUAAUUUUAUCAAAAAAAUAAUAUUCUUUUACGUUGCCAACUGAGGAAUAAUAAACAUUGAGUUUUUCCUACUCCGCUUUUUGAAAUUUUAUAUAUUUUCUCUUUGUUCUCUUUAACUUUUUACUAAAUUUUUAAAGUUUCAUAUAUUUUGUUCACCAAAUUCCCAAUCCAUUCUUCUCAUUUUUGUUUGAAAAUUCCCAAUCUAUCAUGUAUUGACUUGAAGUUAUGCUAGAGAUAGCGUCUACUUGAGCCAUAUUUUGAGACCACAUUAUAUAACAGUUAAUGGUUGGAUUACUUCUUUAAAUCACUAAAGAAGGAAUUCAAUCAUCAACGAGGUCACAUUAUAUGGUCUACAAACAUAGUAUACCUAACAUUUUUUAGUGACUUGAUAUUGAAAGGUUAAUUUCUUUUAAUCCUCUUUAAUUUUAUAUUAAUUACUUUCUAUAUUGACUUGAGAAUGGAAGGUUAACUUCAACAUAGAAAAAACAUUUAGAGCCUCAAAAAAUUUAAUUAUCUCACAAUUGCAAGCAUAUAUUAUACUCUCUUGUAAAUACUAAAUAUAUAGGGAAUUGUUAUGGGCACUCCACAAAUCUCAUUUUAAUUCCCACAAGCGUAUUUUUCUUUCUAAAUAAAGAAAGUUUGGACUACAAAACAAGAAUUUCGAAGUGUCAAUUACAAUUUCCUUUAUUUAAUCUUUUAACAUUUAUGUGAGACCCUUCCUCACCUAAAUCCUGGCUCCCCCAUUGACCAUAACUCCAUUAGGUUUUUGAUGCGAAAAUCAACUUAACACACGAAUUUAACCCUUUUUUGACAACUGUAAUAUAAGUAUAAGUAGGGAUCGUUCUGGACCGGGGAUUAUGAGGGCUUGCUAAUAACCUCUAAACUAACUCAAAAACAUAAAACUAAACUUAAAAAUACUUAACAAGACUCACAAGACUCAAAGCAAACUUAAAAUACUCAAAACAGCUUAAAACAACUAAAUAAACUUAGACACUAGGAAUGACCUUGGACGAAAAUUGACUUUUACUUGAAUCACAACAAUUAAAAACACAAAUUAAAACAGAUUCUAACUAAUUAGACACACUAAAGUAAAGGGGGAUUGAGU